This 47989-nucleotide long non-coding RNA is filed under the name Eucalyptus grandis. RNAcentral's name for it is "long non-coding RNA (EGRA_LNC000813)". Lineage: Eukaryota; Viridiplantae; Streptophyta; Magnoliopsida; Myrtales; Myrtaceae. The record is from RNAcentral.
UUCUUUUUUCUUUUUUCUUUUCUCAUUUUUCAAAUUUUGCUCAAUUUGAGGUGUCCGUCAUAUAAAUUGCCAUGUCUUGACAUUGUUCGAUUAACCUACAAGUUCGACGAUGAGGAGAGAGAGUGUACGUUGCUUAGACAAUCUUGGCAUAAAUUGUUUUUGCUAACGUGACAACAUCUCAAGGUACCAUAUCGACACCAAUAUAGACAUUUAACAAUUAUUUAACAGCGCUAGUCACCAUGUCAACCUUUUACAUCCGAAAUUAUAACAAAGACCUCACUUUAAUCUACAUUUGAAAAAUUGAGGUAAUUGAUUAAACCAUAAAAAGUUCAUAUACUUUAUUACGAAAGGGAUAACAAUUCAGAAACUCACGACUUCAUUGUCCCAAAAAGUUUAUCAUACAAUCAUUGGUCUAGGUUAAAUCUCACAUGUACUUUUGUUUAUGCGAUAUCUUUUCUACAAUUUUAUCCUCUCAAUUCAUUGCUUGGUCUCCCUUUAAUAAUUUUCUUUUGUAAGAUUAUUCAUUCUCUCACGUGAAAGACAACGGGAGAUAUUUUUGUUAAUUUCACACGCCAAAAGAUUUUAGGGGCUAAUCGUCAAGAACAUUCAAAGACUACGAAGUUUGUCAAUGUCCAUUUCGUUAAAUUUCCUUUCGUUUAGACUACUAAGUACUAAUGAUACCUUGGCACAAAAUUAGGUUAGUGCAUUUGACGAUUUAUUUUGUUAUGGGUAGUUAUAUUUGGUUCAAGUAUGCCAAGUUCUAAGGUUUGAGUAAUAUUUGGAAACACUCACUUCAGAAACAGUUCAUUUUAUUCUAAUUCCUAAUUUUUAAUUACAUGUAAUCUGAAUAAAUGCGCCCAAUGUCUUCGUCUGUGCGUAGCAUGUGUAUGAACAUUAAUAGUCUAAUUUAAUUUCAUAUUUCAUAAUCAAUUGACCUCACUAAUUGGGUUCAUAUCUAAAUAGAUUUUUGGAUUAUAUCAUCUGUUUUUUAAAUUAAUAACUUUUAGGAAAAGGGAAAUAUAAUUAUUGAUAGGGCUGAUCAUGGAGGACUGACCAACUUAUUGAAUUACAUAUAUAUAUAUAUAUAUAUAUAUAUAUAUAUGCGUACGUAUUUUUUAAAUUAUAUCUUCCAAUUCAGGAACUCAUGAACAACAGUUGAAAUUGUCCACAACUUAUUGAAUUUUUUCUAUCUUUUUUCUUAGUUCUAUAUUUUUUGAAGCAUGAGUGAGCUAAUGGAGAGAAGAUAUUAUUUAGUCCAGGAAGACCAAGACAUUUACCUACCAAAAACAUUAAACAAAGAUCAAGCCCAAGCCUCUUUUUUUUUUUAAUGCAUCUGUACAUUCUCAGUAACCUUAUAAUUUCAAUAUCUUCGUUUAAUGUGUUAUUGGUGAAUAUGCAAUCAAUGUAAGCUUUUACAUGGCAAUUACGAUGCUAAAGAUUUGUAGCAAGAACGGGCAGUGAUGAUCUUCUAAAGAGCGUUGAGGUAGUAGUUGAUGAUCAAGAACCACUUGAUAGGAGGAUUGUGGCCCUUUGCAUGAUUUUCCUAUUCAUAAGUGUGAUGCCUACAGUAUAUCUGGUACACUGUAUUGUUAGUUGGUGAUGCCUGACCCCUUUUCUUGUCUAGCAAUGAAUAAAGCUAACCAUAAUUGAUACGAUUGACAAAUAAGCAUCUAUGUACUACUUGCACGGACUGAAAUAAAUGUUAACAAUUCACCUAACAAUCACAUCUUACUUUCUAUUAUACAUCUGCAAGUCAUCAAAGACAACUUAUUUUGAUUGUUUGAUAAGGAGAGUAGAAACACGUGCCUUGGGCUAAACAGAAAAAAAGAGUCGGGUACACCAACAAAUCCAUGAAACAAGUUUUCUAAUUUAACCCUAGAAAUAGUAAAUGACUGGCAAAUCACCAACUAAUAUAUCAAGCAAGUUGCUUAGCAAGUUGCUUUGGGCUAACUCUUUCUACUCAAAGGACCACGAUUCUCCUAUCAAGUGAGUCACAAUCAUCACAACUACUUCAGCACCCUUUAACAGGUCAUUGCUGCCCAUUUUGCUGCGAAUUUUUAGCACUAUAGCUGCCACGUAAAAGCCUAUACUAAAAAAAAAAAAAAAAAACCAACAGAAUAUUUGUAAGUUAUAAAUUUUUAUGAAGAUAUGCAUGCCCUCGAAGUUGGUCGUGUGAAGAAAUAUCAUCACUUAUCCUCUGUUUUGGAUGGCCACAAGAAAAGAUUUCUUUAAAACGACAACCGAAAAUCUUGAUAUAGAGAAAAAGGAGAACAAUUGAUUUAUCUAACUCAAGGACCCAAUGUGCAUCAAAACAUGGUCUCUUCGAUCUAACCCAAAUUGAUGGUCGUCAUAGUACACUCAUAAAGUACUUUUCACAGGGAAGACCAAGACUUUACCCAAGAUGCAAAUUGGCUUCAUUACUUCACUUUUCACAUCCCUCUUCUUCCAUCCCUAUGUGAAUAUCUCUAUUUGCAUUACUUGUAAACUUUUCACGCACUACAUGUCUUGCUUAAAAUUAACCAUACUAUAAAUUGGUAUAAGAAAGAAGCUAAGAAGGAACCCAAAAAAUCUCUCCAAAGGCCAUGGGUCAACCAUAGAGAACAACCAAGAGUUAUGGCGAAGCAAAGUGAUAAACGAAGACUUUCAAGGACGCUUUCUAUCCACAAGUGCUCUGUCCAUGUAGAUAAACCACAAACUCAGCAAGACAGACUUUAUUGGACAGCAUGUACUUUUUUGUCUAGAAAGUGAAGCAAAAGCGAAAGAGAGCAAUUGAAAAAAGACAGACUUUGCACAAUGCAAAUUGGCACUGUUGCUCCACUUUUCACAUCCCUCCUCUUCCAUCCCUACGAGAAUGCCUUUGUUUUUUUCAUUACUAGGAGAAUUUCCCCACGCGUUUUAGGCCAUGCUUAAAAUUGACCGUUACUAUAAUUUUCAUCCAACUCUUUUUUUGUGCUAAAUCGUACUGUGAUUUUUCAUUCAAUAAUCUCUUUUGUACUUCUCUAUUAGAAUUAUGUCUACAUUUUCAUGUAUCUUUUCAAAUUUAUGUUCAAUAAAAAAAGAAAAAAAUCAAAGAAAAAAUAUAUAGAAAAACCAACUAGAACUUAAGAAAGGGGGAAAAAAGCAAGAAUGAUGUUAUUCUUAAAGCGAUUUAAGAGUUAAGAAUAAUGAUAUCGAAAGUGCCUAACCUCUUUUUUAGUUUACAAUCAAGUACCUGAAGUCUUUUUCUCUUUUUCAAUCAAGAACCUCAAUUUUUCAAAUUUGGCUCUAUUUGAGGUAUUGGCUAAAUAAAUUGCCAUGUUAUGUAAUAUUGUUGACAUGACUCGUUUACUCAGCAAAAGUUAAAAAUAAUAAUUGACGUGGCUACUUACCCUUUGAUGAGGAGAGAGAAAGUGUGUUGACUUAGAUGAUAUUAGCAUCUAAUAUAUCUCAAUUGACAUGGCAACAUGUCAAAAUUUAGGGUUGAAUUAGUUGUUAUAUAAUAAAUUUAUUGAUUUUUUAGAUAACUUUUCAUAAAGUCAUAUUCAUAUAGUAGUAAUGAUGCUUUCUUGGGACAAGGCUAUAGCACUUUGUCAUCCAUUUAAUUUUGGGUGCUUUUCACGCGCACGUCAGUCAGAGGAAUCAAAAUAAAAUACUGUUUACCCACAAGUGCUUGUUUGGUAAUAUUAAGAGAAUUUCUCCAAAGACUUCAUGGAUACCAUGUGCUUUUUUUUUUUUUCUAGAAAGUGAAGCUAAAGAGAAAAAAGAGGUAAUAGGAAAGAAACUUCAAUAAAUUCCAGAAAGACCAAGACUUAGCAGGACACAAAUUGAAGUUUGUUGCUUCGCUUUUCACAUCCCUUCUCAUGCAUCCCGUGAGAACGUCACUUUUCAUGGUUUACUAUUUACCCAUCAUCCUCUCAGAUGUGGUUCGGCGCUGCUAGCUAAGGGUAAUUACUGUUGCUCCGCCAAUGAUUGUUAAUGGGGGAUAUUUUACUUCGUUUUCUCUUUCUUUCUGAUUUCUUCAUUCAAAAUGAAUUUUGCACCCUAUGGUAUAGUAAGCAAGAAAAAACAUAUUUGGACAUAAAAUGCAAAGCAAUUUCUUAUGGUUAUCUUAUAUGGAAAGUGUUUUUUUUGACAGAGUAUGUACAUAAGAUAUAUUGAGCAACAAACCCCACGAAUGUGUGUUGGGGAAGAUCAGUUAAGGUGGAUUGCAUAGAUCAAAUGCACAAGAAAAUAAUUGCAUUUAGACAUCUAAUCAGCGGGAAUAUAUUACACACACUUCCAUACAUCAUUUCGAGUUGUCCAAUAUUCACAUACAUGACACCUACGACCUAUUGCACAACGUCCAUGAUUUAAUUGAGAUUUAGUUCCUCCACAUUGGUGCAGUUUGUUAACAUUUUAUUCCCAGGGACAGUGCAUCAUGUUGUGAAACAUUUGAAAUGUCCAGGUAAUUGAUUGAAUGAAAAAAAAAAAAAAAAUUGGUAAGAAUUUUCAUGCACCUCAUUAUUUGGUUUUUAAUGUCAAUUUGAUUUUCUUUAGGAAGCCACACAUAUAGAAAGUCUUUUUUUUUUUUGGUCGAAAGAUAUAGAAUGAAAUUGGUUGGGCUCCUUUUAUAGAGUUUUUGCUUCAACCACUCACAUGCGAAAUUGAAUAAGCGCCUCCUCUUGAAUGUCUUUUUCUUUUCCUUAUUUAGGCAGAUCCCAAAUGCUUGAGAUAAGGCGCAAUCAAAUUAUAUGUUUUUUUUUUAUAAGCCAAAAAAUAUUCUCUGAUUUCCUUUGUCAUGUAUUACUACUAGGGGAUUAUAAAUGAUAGUUGUAAAGUUAUAUUCACAUGUCAAAAGCGUUGAAGAUGGGACGAGGCUAUAGCACUCUGUCAUUCAUUUAAUUUUGGUGCUUUUCACUGGCUCUGUGGUGAGUCUUGUAUGGUUUUUUUUUUUUUUAACUUUUAAUGGUCAAUUAAAAUCAAGUUGCUUUGGGCUAACUUUUUCAGUUCAAAGGACCAUAAUUAUUCUAUCAAGUGAUUCAUGAUCAUCACCGACUACUUCAGUACCCUUUCAUCCUCACCCAUUUUGCUAUAAAUUUUUAACACUAUAACUGCCACAUGAAAGCCCAUACUAACGAAAAAAAAAAACCAACAAAACAUUUGUAAAUUAUAAUUUUUUUAUGAAGAUGUGCAUGCCCUCUAAGUUGGUCAUGUGAUCACCUCCUAUUCAAUGUUUUGGAUGGCCACAAGAAAAGGUCCUCUCUUUCAGACGAAGACCAAAAGUCUUGCUAUGGAGAAAAAUGAGAACAAUUUAUUUGUCUAACUCAAGGACACAAUGUGCUUCAAAAGGUGGCCUCUUCAAGCUAACUCAUAAAGGACUUUCAUCGGGAAGACCAAGACUUUAAUGGACAUAAUGUACUUUUUGUCCAGAAAGUGAAGCAGAAGCAGAGAGCAAUUGAAAACAGAUACACUUUGCAGGAUGCAAAUUGGCUUUAGUGCUUCACAUUUCACGUCCCUCCUCUUCCAUCCCUAUGUGAAUACCUUUAUUUUUCCACUACUAGUAGAAUUUUCCCACGCAUUACAUGCCAUGCUUAAAAUUGAUUGCUACUAUAAUUUUCGUCCAAUUCUUAUUUUCAUGCUUAAUCGUAUUGUGAUUUUUCAUUCAGUAAUAUCUCCUGUACUUGUCUAUUAAAAUUGUGUCUAAAUUUUCAUGUAUCUUUUUAAAUUUAUGUUCUAGAAAAAAACAAAAAGAACUUAAGAAGGGAAAAGAAGAAGAAGCAAGAAUGAUGUUACUCUUAAAGCGAUUUAAGAGUUAAAGAAUAAUGAUAUCGUAAGUACUUGAGCUCUUGUUUAGUUUAUGAUCAAGUACAAUAAUAGUUUUUUUUUUUUUAAUCAAGAACCUCAAAUUUUCAAAUUUGGCUCAAUUUGAGGCAUCGUUUAAAUAACUUGUCAUGUUAUGUAAUUUUGCUUACAUGACUCACUUAAUCAGUAAAAAUUAAACAUAAUAGUUGACAUGGCUUCUUACCCUACGGAUUGAGUGAUGAGGAGAGAGAAAGUGCAUUGAUUUAGAUUAUAUUAGCAUUCAAUAUAUCUCAGUUGACAUGAUAUUAUAUCAAAGUUUAAAACUGAAUUAUUCAUUAUCCAACAGAUUUUUGGAUUUUUGGAUAAUUUUUUGUAAAGUCAUAUACAUAUGUCAAAAGUAUUCAAGAAGUAAUGAUGCUUUCUUGGGACAAGGCUAUAGCUCUCUGUCAUCCAUUUAAUUUUGGGUGCUUUUCACGCUUACAUCAGUGGUCAGGGGAAUCAAAAUAGGAUACUCUUUGUCCACAAGUGCUUGUUUGGUAAUACUCAGCAAAAUUUCUCCAAAGGCUUCGUGGAUACCAUAUGCCUUUUUGUCUGGAAAAUGAAGCAAAAGAGAAGAAGAGGUCAUGGGAAAGCAACUUCAAUAAAUUUCGGGAAGACCAUGACUUUACUGGACACAAAUUGAAAUUUGUUGAUUCUCUUUUCACGUCCCUCCUCUUGCAUCCCCACGAGAACGUCUCUUUUUUCCAUUACUAUUAGAAAUUCUAUGCUUUAUGUCUAGAUUAAUCUCUUUUACUUUUUCUUUUUUCAAAUUUGUCUCAAUUUGAGGCGUCCGUUAAAAAAUUGCUACGUUGUAAUGAUUUUAUUUACAUGAUUUGCUUACCCUACUAAUUGGGUGAUGUGGAGAGAGGGGUCGUGUUGACUUAAACAAUCUUAGCAUCCAAUGCCUUUGCCAACGUAGCAACAUCUCAAGAUGUUGUAUUAGACACUAGUGUGGACAUUUAACAACUAUUCACUAGUGUGGACAUUUAACAACUAUUCAACGGCAUUAACGUCCUGUUAACAUUUUCCGUCCACCAAAUUAACAAAGGCCUCGUGUUGACCCACAUGGAAAAUUAAGAUGAUUGAAUGAAAAAAAUUUAGGUACCUAAUUGCAAAAGGGGUAAUAAUUCAAGUACUUGCGAUGUCAUUGUCCCAAAGAGUUUUUUUAUACAAUCAUUGGUCUAGACUCAAAUCUCAAACAUACUUUUGUUUACGCAAUAUUUGUUCUACAAACUCAUCAUCUUUGUUCAUUGCUUGGUCUCCGUUUAAUAAUUUUCUUUCGUAAGAUUAUUCAUUUAUUCGUAUGAAAGAGAAUAGGAGAUAGUUUUGUUAAUUUCACACGCCAAAUAAUUUCAGUGGCUAAAUGUCAAGCACAUUGGAAGACUACAAAAUUUCCCAAUGUCAAUUUCCCUCAUAUUUUCCUCUAGUCAUUUGAUCAUAAAAAUUCAAGCUUUACACUCAAAACUUUUUAGUGAAUUAUCAAACUUUUGAUUGAAAAUAAACUUAUUCUUAGCACUUGAUUUUCAUUCGAUUGGACAUCGUAUUUAUAAUAUUGUCAUCGUAUGUAACUGUACAGAACAUAAUUUAAAACCUUACUAUGAUUUCUUUACCAAUCUCAACUAAUUCGCCUAAACAAUAUUUUUUGUAAAUAAUUUGUUCCAAUUCUUCGAGAGACCAAUUGAUAUCAUCUGGAACGGCGGAUUUGACCCGCAAGAGACAAAAUUGAUACCACGAGGAUCAUAUUUGAGGCCAAUGUAAAUAGUUAGCGGCUACUUAAUAUUGUUGGUGUCAUAUAGAUAGUUUUUCAUUUACUAUCUCAACGGAGGCCUCACAUUGAUUUACAUUAAUAAAUGACAAGGUAAUUGGUUGAAUGGAGAAAAAAAACUUUAGAUAGUUGAUUGCCAGCACAUAGGUAAGAAAUUUCAUGGACCUCAUUAUCUAGUUUUAUUUCAGUCAAUUUGAAUAUUUUUGGAAGCCAUGGAUAUAGAAUGAAAUUGAUGGGUCUCCUUCUACGUAGUUUUUGCUUCAACCCCUUGCAUGUAAAAUCGAAUAAGCGCCUCCUCUUGAAUGUCUUUUUCUUUUCCUUAUUCAGCUAGAUCCCAAAUGCUUGAGAUAAGGCACAAUCCAAUUGUAUUUUUUUUUUUUUUUGUUAUAUGCCAAAAAAUAUUCUCUGAUUUUCUUUGUCAUGUAUUACUACUAGUGAUUAUAAAUGAUAGCUGUAAAGUUAUAUACACAUGUCAAAAGUAUUGAAGUACUAAUGAUGCCUUCUCGGGACCAAAUUAGAUUAGUGCAUUUGACAAUUUAUUUUGUUGUGGGUAAUUAUAUUUGGUUCAAGUAUGCCAAGUUCUAAGGUUUGAGUAAUAUUUGGAAACAAUCAACCACCGAAACAGUUCAUUUUAUUCUAAUUCCUAAUUUUUAAACAUGUAAUCUGAAAAUAUGUGUGCAAUGUCCUCAUCUGGGCGUAGCACGUGUAUGAACACUCGUAAUCUAAUAUUAUUUCACAUUUCAUAACUAAUUGACCUCAUUAAUUGGGUUCAUAUCUAAAUAGAUUUUAGAUUAAAUCAUGAGUUUUUUUAAAUUGAUGACACAUACACACAAACACUUUCGUAGAGUAUCCAUACUACGCAUCGGCUUACAAUUAGUGUGUACGUAUUUUUUAAAUUGAAUCUUUCAAUUUAGAAACUCAUGAGCAACAGUUGAAAUUGUCCACAACUUAUUGAUUUUUCUUCUGUCUUUUUGCUUAGUUCUAUCUUAUUUAAAGCAGAAGCGAUUCAGGAAGACCAAGACAUUCACCCACCAAAAACUUUAAACAACGACCAAGACCGAGCCUUUUUUUUUUCCAUCCGUACAAUCUCAAUAACCUUACAAUUUCAGUGUCUUCAUUUAAUGCGUUAUUGGUGAAUAUGCGAUCAAUAUAGGCUUUUACAUGGCAAUGUCCUCGGGGUAAGUAUGGUUCCAAAGUAGAACUUGGAAUCUAAUAAUCAGACCGAUGGAAACUUGUAGGUUUCGGGUUCCAAAAUAUGCCGGGUAAGUUCCAAGUUCCAAAAAAUGAAGAACUUAUUUCAACGGGUAGUUUCCAAAUUCUUAAUUUUCGGAACCUAAAACUUGGAACCUUGAAUCAGGAACUUGGAACCUGGAAUGAGUUUUAAUAUUUUUCUUAGUUCACGUUUCUGUGCGAUCUUCUGAUAUUUCAUGCUAGUGUAUAAUCUAGAAGUAUUAGUCUGAGUUUAUAUAUUAUGACUAAGAUUUUACUUUAUUAAUGUUCAUAUUUUUUGUAUGUUUAUAUAUAAGCUAUAGUUAGUAAAUUGUAAUCGUUCAAAUAAUAAUAUAUGUGAAACCUAGAUAGACCUUGGAAUCGACAUUGGAACCUGUGAUAGGAAAUGAUCCAAGUUCUAGGGUAUGCAGGGCAGGUUCUAGGUUCUAAAAAAUGAUAAACUUGGAAUUGCUCACUCCUAAUUACAGUACUAAAGAUUUGCAGCAAGAUGGGCAGCAAUGAUCUACUGAAGGGUGUUGAGGUAGUAGUUGAUGAUCAAGAAUCGCUUGAUAGGAGAAUUGUGGUCAUUUGCACAAUUUUCCUAUUCAUAAGUGCGAUGCCUAGAGUAUAUCUAGUACAUUGCACGCUGUUAGUUGGUGAUGCCCAACCAUUUUUCUUAUCUAGCGAUGAAUAAAGCUGACCAUGGAAACAAUGAUUAGCAGAUCCCUACUGAUGUCAUUACCACUUUCUUGGAGUGGUCUCUGAAGAGGCUGGAACAUGUCAUAGCAAAGUAGCAAAGUUGAAUGUCACAUUAGCAAAUAUGUUAGCUAUAUUUUCUUGAGAAAAUUAUGCAAAUGGUCCAUAAAGUUUAGUUAAAUGUGCAAUGUAGUCCUUGAACUUUAGCAUGACGUGUAAUGUCAUUUUUAAACUUUUAAUUUGUUUAAUUUAGUCCCUAAAAUUUGUAUACAUAUUUAAUUUAGUUCUUGGAUUAUCCCUAAACUUGAAUGAAUGAAAAAACGAUAUUGACCAUUUUCAUAUAAAUGAAUUAGAAGAACUAGCAGAAGUGCAUACUAGUUGCAUGUGAAGAUUAACAUCUAAAAGAGUUUGCAAAAUUCAAAUUAUUAAUUCAUAAAAAGUUAUUUACACAAUUUGAGGAAAUUUUAUCCAUGGAUGUUUACAUGGAAAGAGAGAAACAUAUCAAGAUUUGAAUUUUUUGGUAAAAAAUUUUAUAAGACAAAAACUUCAAAUAUUGAAGAUCGAAUUACAUGAGAGAAUAUAACAAAAUUGUUGAUGUAUAUAUUGAACAAGGUGAUGCUAAUUCAAUCACUUUAUGCAUAGUCCAAUGCCAGAAAACUCAACUUUGUUGAACGAAACCCAAAAGAAGGAAUCAAGAAAGGUCUCUCCAAUGGCCACGAGCAAAUGAGUCCAUUAUAAAAGUUAUGGCAAAGCAAAGUGUUGAGGAGCUAAUGGAGACAGAGGACCAUGAAAGUCCAAGAAGAUGAGGACUUUCACAUGCGAAGAUAUCAUUUUGAGAAAGACUUUCACUUGCUAAAAAUGUCAUUUUCUUUUUUGUCCAGAAAGUGAAGUGAAAAAGAGAUGGUGGGAAAGAAACUUUGAAGACCAAAAUUUUUGCACGCCUUUUAAUGGUGGAAAAGAUAUUAAUAGAAUCCUAAAAGAUCAAGACUCUGCACGUCACAUCUUUUCAUGGCAGGAAAAAAAUUAGUAAACUCCAAGAAGAUCGAGACUUUUGCACGUCUUUUGAUAGUGCACAUCUUUUUAUGGUAGGAAAGAAGCUUUAAUAGAUUCCAUAAAGACUAAGACAUUUGCAAGUCUUUUGUCUUUUGUUGGUGGGAAGAAAACUUCAAUUGAUGCCAAGAAGACUGAGACCUCUGUAUCUUUUUUUGUUUUACCAAUAGAAUUUUCAGGCAUUACAAGUCUUGCUUAAAAUCAGCAAUACCAUAAUUUUCCUUUAACUCUUUUUGGGUCUAAUCAUUUUGGGAUUUUUUCAUUCAUUAAUCUCUAUUGUAUCUUUUCAAAUUCGAGUUCAACAAAAGAAAAGAAGAGAGCAAAGAGAAAGCCUAAAAAGAGGAAGCAACAAAAACUUAAAAAAGAAAAUAAAGAAGAAAAAGGGGCAAGAUAGAGCAUUAUCAAAGCACGGCCACGGCCGUGUUGUUGCCAUUAGUGCUGCUACUACGGUGACUAUUUCCAACUUCAUCACCUUACAGUGACCUUCGUAGAUAACAUUUUUCUUGAGAUGUUUUUCUUAUCGCGGUUCAUAAGUUGAGGAUAAUGACAUCGAGAUUAUCAAAACUUUUGCUUAGUUUACAAUCAACUACCUAAACUUUUCUUUUUUAAUUAAGUACCUCAUUUUUCAAAUUUGACUCAAUUUAAGGUAUUCGUUGAAUAAAUUAUCAUGUCAUAUGAUUUUGCUAAUAUGGUUUGCUCACCACUGGAGAUAAUGUAGGAGUAAGGUUAGGCACUGCAUAGGACUUAAAUGAUCAUAGUGUCUAAUAUAUCUCGACCGAGAUAUAUUUGGCCGAGAUGUAUUAGAUGCUAUAUAUAUGUUAGUAAGAUUGUGGUGGCUAUAUGCGAAGCCCAUUCAGAGACUAUAAAGUAUCUCGGCUGAGAUAUAUUAGAUGUUAUAUGUUAAAAAGAUUGCGGUGGCUAUAUGUCAAGCCCAUUUAGAGUCUGUAAAGUCCUCAACGUUGAUUUUCUUUACAUUUUUUGCAAUCAUUUGACCAUAAAGCAUUGCUCUUGCCCCUUUUUCUUGGCCAAUUCCAUUGCUUUCCCUUUGAUCCAUUCACCCAAAACUUAAAAGUUUUGUGCAGGUAGUUUGGCCUAAAUCAGUUGGAACCGGUUUGAAAAUAUACCGAUUUUCAACAUUAGAUCCACUUAGUUUUAGAGUCCCAUGGGUAUAGAAAUGGGCUUUUGGCUACUGUUGCACAUGGAGGGACUUGAGCACUCAACUCCACGGAUCACCGGCAUUUCACUAACCAAGGCCGAACGAUUCAUGUGUUCAUGGGGAAUUGCCAGCACUACAUAUCUAUAAUUGUUUGCUCAAGACACAAUCACCGAUUCCCCUAGUCCAACUGCUUGGCCCGCAAAUAGGCAACCUAACUGGUUCCCUUACUAGCCUGAGUUUGAAAAUAUUGGUGCAAAGUUCCUAUCCCUUCUUAAAAUAAGUAGAUAUGACCAUCUGAUAUGAAUUGAGUCGUAAUGCCCACAAUACUUUUGCCAUGUAACAAAAUAUGAUAGCUAAGUGAUUAUAACUAAUAAACAUCAAUGCUCCUCUCUUUCUCCUUGAUCAUAUGAGAUCUGGAAAUUCUUCGUACAGCUCCAAAUGAGGUUGAUGCUCAACCUCCAUGGUACAUUACUCUUGUCAUUUUUAUAACGCAAAAACCAGAAAAUGAUGCAGUGCAACAUAUUCAGCUUUUCACAGUAGCAGUUUGAUUUGUCACGUACAAUUUUGGAUAUCAAGGUUUUUAUGAGCAUGAGAAGAAAUCUAGCUGCAACAUUUGGAAGCAAAUUACUCAACAUCAUCCCCAUUGAGUUUGCUAAGAAUUUUCUUUUGAUAAGCAGAAGAAAUUUACUGCACAAUGGCAUUAGGCAGAUGCUAAUCCAUGUAACAAAUCAUAAACGCAAUUCAUGCUAUGAGGUAUAAGAAAGAAUGCAUAUUAGUAAUGUCAUUUUCACACAACCAAAAGCUGUGGAAAGCCAUCUAUCAUUCAAAUCAAAAAACCAGUCUUGCUAAUUUCAAAGGCUCUCCCAUUUCUUUCUUCAAAACAGAACAGUAAGCUAAUGAAAUGAAUCAACCAUAAACACAGCCCAACAUAAACAAGCAGUAAUAAAAACUCCUUACUGUUUGAUGUUGGAUUCUAAAAUCCAACAAAAGGAAGUUCUCCAGUAGAACCAAAAAUCAGGAGUUUGCCAUAGUUUCAUGGAGAUUUUGAACAAAAGUUACAAGACCUAUGGAACAUCGGAUAGAAAGCAAAUGAAUGCAUGUUGCAAGAGGCAGUCUUGGAUAUUGUGGACCAUAAUAUCCAUGCACAGUGAUGAACAAGGCAUUACUGCAGGGUGAGCUUGGCAUCUAAUUUGUAACAACAAGAGAGAGAAUGUCGAUCGUCAUAGCAGCAGAGGCUAUGUUCUCCAUGAUAGCUACUACCCAAUCAUCUCUUUGAACCAACAAUUGAAAUUAAAAUGCAGGGUGGCAAGUUCAUUUUCAGAAUAGCAGAUUAGUAUGGCAGCACUCAAAUAAGUCGGACCAAUAAUUGAGAAUGAAUCAGUCACUGUAAAUAGACUGCUUCUGAUGUCCUUGCUGGCACCGAGGCGAGCUGAGAGUUGCCUAAAGCAUUAACCGCACAUUCUUUCUGAAUCAUUGACUUCAGGAGUCCCAGUGGCAAUGUUUAGGACUAACAAGGAAUGAGAUGGAUCAGUCCGCUAUUAACUGACUUGGUUUAUAGAUGUAAGCAGAGUUUGUCUAAUUAAAUCUGUACAAAACUCGAAACUUUGAACUUGUGAGAGAUGCUGGAAAGCAGUAUCUGACACUCAAAUAAGAACAUAAGAACAUACGACCUUAAAAUGAAUCACGAGGCUUGUAUUUAUUGUCAAUUUCAUGUAUAUCCAUGAAGGAGCUGCCUCCAACUGCAAUACCCUUCAAUUCAUUUAUGGCUUCUAUUUGGUUCGGCUGCAUAGCAAUGCCUCCAUUCUCAGAACUACCCUCUAGAAAUUCAUUAUCUUCCAUAUCUGCUAAGUCCAUAAAAGUUUCUGUCUUAUUCUUCCUCCCCGUACAACCAACAAGGCUUAGGACCUUUUCCUUCCAAAUAACCGGCGGACAUUUCUGAAUCAGCUCCGCACCUUCAUAAGCUCCUGUCAAGAACACGCUAAACCAACACCUUUGACACCACUUUAUGCUUCUCAGUGGCAAUUUCGAGAUCAUGGACCCUCUUGUCCUUGCGCCUAUCUUUCACUCUCUUGCUGGUGGUCAUGAAUCUAUGCUGCGACCAGUUAAGUAAAAACUCGCCAAGACUCCAGUUUCUUCUCAGGGUAGGCGAACGCAAUAGCGAGGUGACAAAGCAACCAAACUCGCUUGCCGCGCUCCAUUCAUUCGAGGAAGCUGCGGUUUUACCAAUGAUUUGAAGACGGGUCAUGUCAAGAUGGUAAUGCCUCGCUCCAAAUUCAAGAAACAAGCCCAAGAAAAGCAAAUGCCUCUCGCUCAAGACAAACAUCAAACGGCUUACGUGCAAUGGAACGAGGACCAACAAGAGCCCAAGACAAAAGAAUAUUCGAGAAGAUCGCCGUAAAUGCGCGGUUACCACCUCUCUCGGAUCACUCGAUGAGCAUCAGUGUCGACUUCGACGGAAGCUGGUUGGGAUUUCAGGCGGGGCUUGUGCGGAGAACGAAGAAGAAGAAGAAACGAGGCGCGAAGAAGAGGGAACGGAUUGUCGUUUUGGUUUUUGCGUUUUCCGUCGUGAAUGAGGUGACAUUUUGAUUUAAAUAAUUAAAAGAGCUUGAGGGUCUUAUAAAAGGCGAUAUUCCUGUGUUUUUUCUUUUUAAUUAUAAAAUUGAGGCGUUUGAGAUUACAUCGAAAAUCUGAUUUAAAAUCUUAAUAAAGUUUAGUAAAAAAAAAUCAAACCAUAUCGAAAUCAAAUAUUGGGUUUCAUGAUUCAUAGACAACUGAAUGUCUUCUCUCAUUAUACACAUGUUCGAAAACUUACAUAAAAGAACAAAUUUUUUAGAAAAAAAUAAGGAAAAAUAUAUUGGAGAUUACUAAUGGUUCUAUAUUUUAAGUCUGAUUUGCCUAUUUUGUAAAUUGGAGUCGAAAGGGUUCGAUAUUAAAUAAAAAUCAAAUUUCAGGCAUUAAAUGUCUUCCUUGUUUGACAAAAGAAAACACAUGCUCCAUGUUCGUCACCUUUUUUUGAAUGACCAAGUUACAAAUUUUAGGAUAUGUGUUGACCAAUCAAACCGGUCACGAACAAGUUCUUAGCAAGCCAUUCCAAAUAACUCAAUUGUUCAUUGAUAUUUUCACAAUUCUACAAGCAAUAAAAAAUCGAGUUUGAACAUAAUGCAAUUAAACCAAGUAUCGACCACAAUAUAGAUCGAUUCUUUUCCUUUUUUAAGAACUUAAUUGGGUCCAAUUUAAGAAAGUUAUAAGCCGGAUAGGAUUAAGAUGAAUAUAAAACCGAGAUAAAUAAAUAAAAAUUGAGUUAUUUAAUGGAAAAUAAAAAGAAAAAAAUCAAACGAAUAUUUUCCACUCCCUCUCUAGGAGUGUAUUUGAUAAAUUCUUAAAACAGAUCCAUUAAACCUCAAUUCGUGAGGAUCUAUCUCAGAAUAACGAAACUCAGUCAAACCCCUUUUUCUUAAAAAAGGAAAAAAAAAAGGAAAAGAAAAAUAAGCCGAGAGCCAUCCUUCCCCGCUUCCCUCCAAUUUCCGAUCGUUUCCAAAAUCCGCAAAAAAAAAUUCGAAAGUCUCUUCUCCUGCGCAGACGCAGCGAACUCCAUCGCCGAUCGUCAAACUCCAUCGUCGUCGAAGAUGCUUUCGUCUCUCAAACUGAGUUUCACGAUCUCCGCUCGAUUUCAAUUCAUGUCCUUUUCCGCGGUGCCAUUGCCGAUGACGAUGAUUCUGGGUCUCAUCUCGUGUUCGCUCGUUGAUGUUCGGAGCCGAAGAGCAGAAGAUAGUGGAAAGAGAGGACGACGAUGACGAAGCAGAAGACCUGCCCGAAACGAUCGACAAACAAACGUGAGUUACGGCAAAACGAGAGUGUAGGCAAUGCUCUCUGUUCAUGCCAUCGCUUUCGCAACGAGUUUCGGUGCGUCAUUUGAUUCUGAGAUUGAUUAUCGUGAUUUUCUGAUUCCGUGUUCCGAAAGUUAAAAUUAAGAUGCAAAUGGUUCGAUGAAGCUACGGCUGUGAUUAUCGUGAUGUACAUCUCGACCUUUCUCUCGAACUUGCCGUGAUUUCCUGCGCGUGCAAUAGUUUUUAGUUUUUUGUCUUCUGAUCAUACAAGAGCAAUUCCAGCCUUCGUUAUGUUACGUGAUCUUGGAAUUGCACCAUUGGAUGUCUUGUUUUCCAUGUAUUGGUCAUAUAGCUGGAUUGGUAAGGAAUAUCCUAAGCUAAAUUCAUCAAUAAUCACUGUUGGAAAGUUGGAUUGUCAGUGAUGAUCUAGGAAAUGCUUUUGUCCUGGCAUCCUACAAUCACCAGAAGAGUUUGACACGAUGGUGAGUUGGUCUCAUUUUCCUUCUCUGAACUUCUUCCUUUAUUUUGUUUGCAGUUAUUUCUCAAGGAAUAAAUGCUGGAGAUAUGAAAAAGCUCCAGGAUGCAGGAAUCUACACUUGCAAUGGCUUGACGAUGCAUACAAAGAAGGUAUAUCUGAUCUUUAGUCCUGAGAAUUAAGUUGAGGAGUGUAUUCUUAUUUGGCCAAGUGAUUUGCUUUUGCUUUGUUUAUUUUUGGGUAGCACUUAACUGGAAUAAAAGGAUUAUCUGAGGCAAAAGUUGACAAAAUAUGCAAAGCGGCUGAAAAAAUAGUGGUUAGAGCUUAAAUUCUUCUAGACCUGAGAUGGUGGCUUCAAUCAAUUUGCACUUCUAUGAGCAUCUCGCAUUGACUUCCCUUCGUUUUAUCAGAAUUUUGGCUAAAUUACUGGAAGUGCUCAGUGUAAGUUCUUAAUUCUGCAACCUUCGAGCUAAAAUGGUUCGGAAUAGCCUUGAAAUAAAGCCUGCAAAUUAGCAUAUCCGUUGCUCAAAGUACUCUCAAUGUCUUCGUUUUUCUCUAGAGAGAGUCGUUGGUUGUUUGCAUCACAACUGGAAGCCAAGCCCACGAUGAGCCUGUAGGUGGUAAGAGACUUUCUUUUGCAGACUGUGUGUCUUAUUCUUCAUGCAUUUCAAUGAAAACAAAUUUCACCGGUUUGGCAAUGUUCACAGGUGGUAUUGAAACUCUGGCAAUUACGGAAGCAUUUGGUGAAUCUGGGUGAAAAUCACAGUCCAACAACAUUACCUUUUGAUGAACUUUUGGUUGCUUUUGUUAAUUAGCUUUCUCAGAAAAUGCUGCUGACGUCACUUCAGGUCUGGGAAAACAUAGCUUGCAUAUACCCUAUGUGUUACUUCCCAGGUUGGUCUGAAUUGGAUAUUAGGUUUCUGUCUUGAACUUCUGUUUCUUUCUUUUUCUUUUUUUUUUCUCCAGAUGAACAAUGCCAAAUAGUAACAUGAUGAUUGAAUUCCUAUGAAGUAUAAAGAUGUGGGUAAUCUUGGCAUCAUAAUGUGUGUAUUAGGUGAUUCUGGAAGUAUGGCACUCAUUUUCUGUAAUCUGCACUCGGUAUACUGGAACCCAUGUACAGUGGCUCAAACCAAGCAGGAAAAAGGCCAGAGGAGUUUAGACUAUGUCAUAACCCAGUAAAAGCCUUAAUCACAGAUGGACUCGGACUUGGGUUGAUCAUUAGUUGAAUGUGAUGCUUGAAGAUACUCUACUUCCUUUGCAAAUCCUACAACAGUACUUACCCCUGUUUAUAAUCAUUCUUUGUUAAUGGUUUGUGGAUUCCAUGUUUGUAAAAUAUUUUCAGCUGCCAAGUCACAUGAGAGGAGGAAAUGGCAAGGUAGCUUAGAUCAACGCAAAAGGAAGCAAAAGGAACUUUGUAUGCUAUUACAAUCUGUCUGUAUUUUUCUUGACCUCGGCAAAGCUGCUUGUGUUUCAUAAACGUUAUCUGUCCAUGUAAGCGCAUGUGCACUUUCUUAACUUGGUACACCUGCAGUUGCGGUGAUCGAAUUGUACCAAUUGCCAAGAGAUUUGGCAUGGACUAUCUUGCAGUCCUAGAUAAUGUAAGCUAAGCUUUCUAUAUUGGUGGCAACUCUUCCUUCUUUUCUGGCUAGUGUACUUGCUGUAAUCUAGUCUUUCCAUGAAUUUGUAGAUCAUUUAUGCCCGUGUCUAUACUUAGGAGCAUCUGGCUGCCAAAAUGUGUGAAGAACCAUUUAGAUUACUGGUAAGACAGCACUCCAGAAUGAAACUGCACACAUUUUGUGAGGUGUGGAUGGUUGGCCUUAGGUCAGUAAUAUCUUUCAGACUAUGGAUUCAGCGAUUACUCUCUUUCAAAUGGGUAUUAUUGGAAGGGGAGAACUUGUAAAGAGCCAGGUCCGUUGAAACCGUCAAAUCAUGCGAGUUGUAUUUUUGAGCUCAUCUUGUUUGACACAAAUAGAUUCUGAAUUGUGGCAAAAAUUUGCACAAGUGCUCUCAUGCUUACUUAAGAUAGCUGAGGAAUUUAAUGUGACAGUGUACAUAACUAAUCAAGGUACGGCAUCACAUCUUAUUUCUCCCACAGUCAUGCAUCCAUUAAUACUUAUCCAAUCUAGCCCUUGAUGGUGCACACUGAAAAAUUGCAAUUUGGGGAUAGCACUAAGCUCAUGCUAGUUCUUGUAAAUCUCAAGAAUCAGCUGUUUGGUGUAAACUUGUAAUGUACACAGUGGCUACAGUCCAUUAUUUAACAGUCCAUUACUUAAGGAAAAAAGAUAAUUUUUUCACGACUUUGAUUUAUUUGUUUCAGCAUCAAAGAAACCUGCAGGUGGGCAUGUUCUGGCUCAUGCGACCACAACUAGGUUGAUGUUUGAGAAAGGCAAAGGUGAGCAGCGGGUUUGCAAGGUGUUCAAAGCCCCAGACCUACCUAAAGCUGAAGUUAUAUCCUUUCUGUGCUGGAUCUUUUGUCUAGCCAUACACUUUAUUGAAAUUUACCAGAUUAUACUGCAGAGACCAAACGAAAUAUGUAGAAAUCUUUAUCAAUCAGAGAGAAAGUUGAUACUAAGUCCAUAUAUGCAUAGGUGGAGACAAGAGUUUGAGCAGUAUACUUGCAGUAUACUUACAUUUGCAGCCUGUGCUAUGGAAACAAUAUACCCAAACAUUGGUGAUGCCAUACUGUUCCUCUAGUUACAUACUUAGUUGAAAUUUAUCAUACCAUAUUGCAGAGACCAAGUAAAAUAUCUGGAAGUCUAUAUCAAAAUCUGUGAGAAAGUCUAUACUUAGUUGACAUAGGUUUAGGUGGAGACCUGAUUUAAGCAUGAUACUCACAGUAUAAUUGAUGUUGCUUGGAGAUCCAUCAACACGCUGAAUACGAAUUUUGUGUGGAGGAAUUAAACAAAAAGAAGUGGAUAUCGGGAAUUUUCCUCAGUAGGACUGGUAGUCUGGUAUAUUAUUAUUAGCUUUGCUGGUAUGUAGACGAUGCACAUCUAUCCAGACCAUCACUCAAUUUUGUUAGAAAAUUUAGCAAGAACUCAUCUGUCAAUAAGAUGAGACUGAGAUUUAUUUCAUCUAUGCUGAACUUGACAAACUCACGUUUUUCAGAUAACACCAGGAGGCAUCGCUGAUGCCAAGGACUGACAAAGUCUCUACAACCAGGAAGGCAGGCGAAAUGCUUUUUUUUUUUUUUUUUUUUAUUGGUUAAUCUGCAAUUUGAUGUUAGUCAUCGUAUUGACAGCAAGAUGCAUAUAAUGAGCUCCCAAGCACUUGUUCAUUUCCUUUAUCUGCAAUGGACUCUGUCACCCUCUUCAUAGCUUGUCCUUAAGUGUCAUGUGCUCGACAACAGACCAUUCAUGAAUGACAUGAAAUACUUUCUCUAACUGUGAUGGUGACCCAAAAGAUUUGUCAUCUACAUUGUCACCUUUGUGUAUCAAAUGCAAAAUAUAUCGUAAGGGUAAGGCAUAGGUAUCCUUUCUGCUCCUUGUAUUUAUCUUUAGCCAAUUGAAUGCAAAUAACGCAGCCUUAUAUGCUCUUAGGAGCUUAAUCGAGCAUGCCAUGCUAUUGAAAGUUUAGAGGACUACAUCAGGCUUGAGAUGAGAUGUAAUUAGAAGAAAAUUAUUCAGUGUCAUUUUGAAUAACUUGAAAUGAAAUGAAAUUUAUGAACCAUGGUAUUUCGUCAUAAAGAAAAGAAAAACAAAAAAUUAUCAAAUGCAAUAUGUUUUUAACUACACAUAAUAGCAGUUUGGUUUAAGGCUAACAGUUUGUGGAUAUUGGGGUUUUUAUGAGCCGGAGAAGAAAUCUAGUCACAAUAUUUGAAAGCUAAUUACCCAACAUCAUCUCCAUUGAGUUCACAAUAAUUUUCUUUUGAUAAGUAAAAGAACUUUCUUGAACUUUCUUACACGAGCAAUUCAGCUUUUGUUUAUAUUAUGCGACAUUCAAAUUGCACCAUUGCAGUAGCUGCAGUCCAUGAGUUUCGGAAAAAGAUGAUUUUUUUGACUUAGUCUUUGAUUUAUUUGUUUCAGUCGUAGAUGAUCCAGGCAGUGAUGUGUUCAUAUCAGACCCAACGAAACCUGCGGAUGGGGAUGUUCUGGCUCAUUUAGCCACAAUUAGGUUGAUGUUUAGGAAAGGCAAAGGUGAGCAGCACGCCUCCAAGGUGUUUAAGGCCCCAAACCAACCUGAAAUUGAAGCUAAGUCGAUACUGAGUCUACAUAUAGAUAAGUGGAGACCUGAUUUAAGGAUGGUGCUCACAAUAUACUUGAUGUUGUAUGGAGAUCCAAGAACAUGUUGAAUGCGAAUUUAUGCAGAGGAAUUAAACAAAAAGAAAUGGAUUUCAAGAAUUUUUCUAAGCAAGACUGGUAGAUUAACUGUGCAGCCUGUGCUCUAUGUAGAUGGCACAUCUAUCAAAACCAUCACUUAUUGCACGAGAGGUUACCGCUUUACCCUCAAUAUUGAACAUGCUAUAAUUGUCUGUUAUUAAAGUUCACAUGAUCACAAGGUUUCGUGUAAACUCGAUUUCCAUAUGAGAACCAGCAUGCUCGAAGUUAUAUUGGUUCACAUCUGUUCUCAUAUGACAAUAUCGUCCCGGUCUGAUUUACUAGUAGAGAUUCUAUGCGGAAAACAUUACAUUGGAUAAACUUUGCAUGAUGGCUAAAUGAAAUGCCAGAAAGAUAUUACUGCACAAAGCAUGAUCAAGUUCUGUAAAGGCUUGGUUUUGUAAGUACAUAUACAGCUGCACAAAAACAAUGUCAUCUCAAACUCUCAACAUAGAGCAACAGGCCAUUAAAGCCAAAAAAAUUGUCAAUGUAUGAGAAAGGGUGACUGGGUCAUAAGCAACAGAAGGCCAUUCAAUAGCUAAUAGCCUGCCCAAAAAAGGGCCACAAUGCAUAUGACUCGGCAGUGCAAGGACCAGUUCGCAGCAAUCCCAACUCUAGGCAUGCUGGACUCCUUAGUCUCUGCACCACUUCAAAAUGUAGUGCUGUGCACUCCGCUCGACCUAUUCACGCUAGGAACUGGCUUCACCUCAUUCGGUGCAUGCUCGUAACUCCUCAAACCUUUAGAGCUGGUAAAGAAGCAUCCUGAGUUGGAAAAGAAGGCAACGUUAACAGGUGAACGAUUUGGCACUCAAAAAUCAUCGGAAGAGCAACAUUGUAGGUGAUAAGGCACAUUUCAAUACAUGCAUACAGGUAAAGAACACCAUUUUAACCUUAGAUUAUAAAUUUAUGUUCGAAACCAAUUUUUCCAAAAUGCUGUUACCCCACAACAUAACAUUCUCCUUUGAACUCUGCUUAAUAUCAGCAGAGCUCAUCCAUUCUUACUUUUCACAUUGCAAUGCAUGGACCAAAUUCCAGUGGAGCCGCAUCAACAAACCGAAAAAAUAAUUACCUUUAGGGAAUGGUGCGAAAGACUUCCCAAAGCCCAUCUUCACGACUUCUGCAUCAUCUGAGUGAACAAGACUGCCUCCGGAAUCAAUUCCCCAGAAGGAAGGAAAACUGCCAUAACAUCCUGAAUGAUUCAGAGGACAGAAAGGAUUAGAUAUAGAUCACAGAGGAGGGAGAGAUUGAGAGCGAUAUCCCAGAACGAAACCAAUGAACAUUAUUAUUACUCACACAGGCCAGAAAAGGGGUUUUAGAAGAGCUGUUGAAGAGCACAAAACCAAACUUCCUGCUGAUGUCUCUCACGACUUGAUCAGCAGGGUAGGCCUCCCAUCCCUCAGAAUUCAAUAAGCUUCUACGACGAUAAUGACCUCAUUAGUGGUUUUAUUCCAUCCAUAUUGCUGCUUAAGAAGAGCAACAUUGCCUAUGUCCUUGGAACAAGCAACCGCAAACAAUCUGUCACUGAGGGUAAGGCAUGUCAAAUCUCGAUGUGGGACGAGUUGAUUGAGAAGAGAAGACAAUACGGAAAUUUCCAUCAAUUAACAAUCCAAUUAAAUUUCAUUAUCUGGCUUUCAAAAUGAACCAGACUCGAGUUCCACUAUCUCCUUUAGGCUGACAAAUGGAACCUUUCAUGGUAUCACAGUAAAGUCCAACAAAAAUCAGUUUGAUCUAACCGUUGCCUCUCUAAACAAUGAAAUCAUGAUUAUUUUUUCUUUUUUGGUGGUUAAAGCUACCUUUAUCAAGAGAUGGAGUGGGAAUUUGAAUAGAAGAAAGAUAAACAUGUUAUAUGUGCAAUAACAUUCAAAAAGCCUCAGAGAAAGUACACAGUGAACUGCGAUUUAGAUUACAAAUUAACUCACCUCUAAAAGAGCUUCACGAUCUCACACAAAAAUUGCUUCAAUAAAAAAUUUACAUAUGCAAACAGAGACGGAGGAGAUGUAUCAGACAAGGUUUGCAUUCGUCGAACUGCAAGAUUUCCAGUUACACCAAACAAACACAAGUAAGCUCGAAACUUUUGUUCUGGAACUCCCCACACGAAAGAUGCCACAUAAGAAGGGAUUUUCAGAUAAAAUAACAUAAUGUAAGACAAAAUAAUAUUCCACAUUAGAGUAAACGCACACGGGUGAUACUUUAAAGAACUGAAUAGAUUUGCCCCAGAGGUCACUGCUGACAACACAAUCACAGAAGCAGGUAGCAUAUCAUUUCAAUCUCAACCAAACAAGCAUAAGUAGUUUGGCUAAAAAUUUCUUGCAAGCUUUUAGUAAUGGUUCCUAACCCACCAGAGAUCAAGACCCAAGUGGAAGGUGAUUUAUGGAAUAUCAAUGUUGUCAUGAAUUGGUGUGGCAUUGAAAGGUUGGAGCCAUGAGGCACCCCAGAAUUUUAUCCCAGAUUGACUGGUUAAUACUACGAAGGAUCAUCAUCAACAAAAAGAAGGUUCUCAAUGAUAAAGGAAACCAUUGAAAAAAAAAGAAAAAAGGAAGUGCAUCCCUUUUCUUCACAAUCAUAUCACAGCAUCCACAUAACUAAUCAUGUUUUUAGAUUUUAGAAAAGAUUAUUCUUAUUUAGAUCGUAUUCACUAGAAGACAAUUUAGAACAUCUCAAUGAACCAAAUUAAAUUAAACGCUUCUUUUUUCUAUUAUUAAAUUGCAAAAGGUGACACUUAACAUUGACAGCAUUAGCCCCACCUCAACAGCAUUUACAAGUGAUCCUUCCAAGAGAUUUUGCCAAUACAGAUCACAGUGGUAUCUGCAAAGCAACCACGGUGAACAAGCUUAAGGGCGGAAGAAAAAAGAAGUUGGGAAGAGAACAUACAACAAACGCUGAAGAGCAUAGUGCAUUUUGAUUCACAAUUUGUUUGGCGGGUCACACAAGUGCGAAAAUAAGCACAGUAUUUGGGCAUCAAGAAGAGUUCAAGAUAUGUCAUCAAUAUAGCAAGAUGCAGCUUUGUGAACAGUUCAUUCUACAUAUGUCAAUCUUUCACCUUCAGCGGCUGGUUUUCGAAAAUUUAUGUGAAAAAUCUGAAUGAGGAAAAUCAGUUCGUAUCAAGCAUCGAAUUUAGGAACUGGCUUCACCUCAUUCUGUGGGUGCUCAUAACUCCUCAAACCUCCAGAGCUGGUGAAGCAGCAUCCUGAGUUGGAAGAGAAGGCAAUGUUAAAAGGUGAACAAUUUGGCGCUCAAAAACCAUUGGAAGAGCAACAUUGUAAGUGAAAAUGCACAAAUCAAAACAUGCAUACAGAUAAAGAGCACCAUUUUAACCAUAAAUUAUAAAUUUAGGUUUGGAACCAAUUUUUCCAAUAUGAUGUCACCCAACAAAAUAACAUUCUCCUCUGAAUUCUGCUUAAUAUCAGCAGAGCUCAUCCAUCCUUACUUUUCAUAUUGCAAUGCAUGGACCGAACCCCAGUGGAGCCGCAUCAACAAACCGAAAAUAUAAUUACCUUUAGGGAAUGGUGCGGAAGAUUUCCCAAAGCCCAUCUUCACGAUUUCUGCAUUAUUAAAGAGAACAAGACUGCCUCCAGAAUCAAGUCCCCAGAAGAAAGGAACACUUCCAUCAACAUCCUGCAUGAUUCAGAGAACAGAAAGGAUUAGAUAAAGAUCACAGGUGAAGGGAGAGAUUGAGAGUGAUAUCCCAGAACCAAACCAAUGAACAUUAUUAUUACUCAGAGGCCAGAAAAGCGGUUUUAGAAGAGCUGCCGAAGAGCACAAAACCAAACUUCCUGCUAAUGUCUCUCACAACUUGAUCAGCAGGGUAAGGCCUCCGAUCCCCAGAGUCCUAUAAGCUUCUAUGAUGAUGAUGACCACAUUAGCAGUUUUGUUCCAUCCAUAUUGCUGCUUAAUAAGAGCAAUGUUGAAAAUCAGAAUGAUUUUCUGGUUAUUUUGUUUCCAGCUUUUCCAGAUUUUUCAGAUCUUUUAGAUUUAGAUUUUCUAGAUCUUUCAGAUCUUCUAGAUUUUCCAGAUUUUAUUUUUCCAGAUUUUAUUUGUUAGUUUUUAGGAAUUUGUUUACUAGCUUUUUAGGGUGCUGUAGCAACUAUAAAAAUGUUAGUGUCUCAUGUAAAUAUUAAUUCUCUAUAGAAUAAAAAACUCAGAGUAAUUUCUCUCAAAAUUCUUCAUGGUAUCAGAGCACGAUCUGGACCAUUCUCUUCUACCUUAUUUCUGAGAGUUUCCACCAUGACAAAAUACCCUAGAGCUGCCAUGGCUAGCGAGUUUGAGAGUGAAACCUCAGACCCUAGAGCUCAGAACUCUUCUCACAUUAUCCAACCUAUCAAUGUAUCUGAAGGUGGAACUCUUCUCAUCACCAGUCAUAAACUUACCGGUCACAACUUCAAUCAAUGGUCCCAUUCUGUCAUGAUUUUCGUUUGCGGAAAAGGUAAAGAAGAUUACCUAACUGGAGCUGCCGUACAACCUGAGGAGACGAGCCCAGAUUAUCGAACAUGGAAGGCGGAAAACAACAUGGUGAUGUGCUGGCUGCUGAAUUCAAUGACAAAUGAAACAGGGGAGAAUUUCAUGUACUACAAGACAGCAAAGGAGAUUUGGGAUGCUGUUCAUGAAACUUAUUCAAACAAGGACAACACCUCAGCCAUUUUCGAGAUCAAGGGCAUUCUCCAUGACCUAAGGCAAGGGGAAUCUUCUGUCACUGAUUAUUUUAACCAACUUAUACGUCAUUGGCAGCAACUUGACAUGCUGGAAGAUGUGAUGUGGAGUUGUCCUGAAGAUAGCAAGCUGUACAAGCAGAUUCAAGAUCGAGAACGCAUCUACAAAUUUUUGUUAGGCUUGAAUCAAGAGCUUGAUGAGGUACGUGGACGGAUUCUGAGCAUAAAGCCCCUACCUAGUGUACGUGAAGUUUUUGCUGAGGUCAGGAGAGAAGAGACUCGGCGAAAGGUGAUGCUUGGUUCCUCAAACCUGACCAAUCCAGCAAAUUCUGCUCUAAUAGCUCGAGGAUCUCAACCAUCCUACAGUCGAGGCACUCAAUCAAACAACAACAACCAGCGAAGGGGUGGUCGUCCAUGGUGUGAUCAUUGCAAACGAACAGGUCACACAAAAGACACCUGCUGGAAAAUUCAUGGUCGGCCAGAUGAUUGGAAGCCAUCAGCCUCACAUCCUACUCAAAAUCGAGAGAGCAGAAGCAACGUAGUCCAAACCGAAACAAUUGCUUCGGUAGAUUCAAGUCCUUUCAACAAAGAGCAGUUGGAGAUGCUUAAAAAGCUGCUACAAGAAUCAGUUCAGAAGGCAACCCAUCCAGAAGGGGUUAGUACAGCAACGAUAGCCCAACAAGGUAACUGUCUAAAUGCCUUUAGUGCUAAACAGGAGAAGAUCACCUCUUGGGUUGUAGACUCAGGAGCAUCCGACCACAUGACCGGAGAUAUUACGGUGUUCAACGAGUACACUCCAUGUAAAAAUGGCACUAGUGUUCGAAUUGCUGAUGGAUCUUGCUCAAAGGUGGCUGGUGUUGGAUCAGUGGUUAUUUCAAAAGAUAUAACACUGAAUUCAGUAUUAUUUAUUCUCAAACUCAGCUAUAAUCUUCUCUCCAUUAGCAAGUUAACCAAAGAUUUAGGCUACAUUACUAAAUUUUUCCCACACUCAUGUGAAUUUCAGGUUUUGGAUUCGGGGAUGACGAUUGGCAGUGCUGAGAUGGAUGCGGGUCUCUACCUUCUACGAGUUAAUGCCUCAGAAUGGAAAAACAAGAUGUCAUGUGUAGCAUCUCGUGCUAAAGAAGAGAGUGAUGUAAGAUUGUGGCACUAUCGGUUAGGUCAUCCAAAUUUCUCGUACUUAAAAAGGUUGCUACCUUCUUUGUUCAAUAAGAUUCAAUAAAACUUCAAUGUGAGGUGUGUCAAUUAUCCAAACAUACUCGUAGUUCAUAUCCUUUGCAACCGUACAAGUCUUCCCAUCCAUUUCACAUGAUUCAUAGCGAUAUUUGGGGACCUUCUCGUGUCAAUAACAUUUCUGGUUUUAGGUGGUUUGUUACUUUCAUUGAUGAUCAUACAAGACUCACUUGGCUGUUCCUAAUGAAAGAAAAAUCAGAUAUUGGCCAAAUCUUUCAAACCUUCAACCUAAUGAUCCAAACCCAAUUCAGCACAAAAAUCCAAGUUUUCAAAACGGAUAAUGGGAGAGAAUACUUUCACUCACAACUCGGGUCAUAUCUAAAUAGCCAUGGUAUCAUACAUAUUAGCUCUUGUGUAGAGACUCCACAACAGAAUGGAGUGGCGGAGAGGAAAAAUAGGCAUCUUUUGGAAGUCGCUCGUUCUCUUAUGUUAACCACCCAUGUUCCUAAACAUUUUUGGGGAGAAGCAGUGUUGACAGCCACAUAUCUCAUCAAUCGUAUGCCUUCCCGUGUCCUAGAUUUCCAAACACCAUUUCAGAGUCUACUUCGUAUUUACCCACAUAUACUUCGUAUUUACCCACAUAUUCGUUUUGCGUCACAUAUCCCAUUCAAAGUAUUCGGUUGCACAGCUUUUGUUCAUAUAAAUCAGCAACAUCGUAGCAAGCUAGAUCCUAAGUCUCUCAAAUGUGUGUUUCUAGGAUACGCUCCAAAUCAAAGUGGAUAUAAAUGUUAUUGCCCACAAAUAAAGCGUUUUUAUACCACUAUGGAUGUUACAUUCUUUGAGCACCAGCCCUUCCACUCCAACAAUACCAUUCGGGGGGAGAGUUGUGAGGAAUAUUAUUUUUGGGAUACUUUUCAUUCACUCGGGUCACAACAAACAAAUACCAACUCUGCUUGUCUUCCGAGUCUACCCAUGCAAGAUGCUACACAAGACAAAAAUAAAGAGGUAAUUGUCUACUCUAGGCGGAAAACUCAAAAGGAGUUGGAGGACCGUACUACAUCAAAGCCGGCCCAAGAGACAGACCUGAGUUCAAGACCCACAAUGGAUGAAGGUAAUGCUCCUAUAAGCUCAGAAAAUUUUGCUGUACUUGAUGAUCUUGAUCAGCCCAUUGCUCUUAGGAAAGGGAAGAGACAGUGCACUCAACAUCCCAUUAACAAUUUUGUGUCUUAUGAAAAGUUGUCUCCUAAAUAUAAGGCAUUUGCUUCAACGUUGAGUAACAUUCAAAUUCCCAAGAAUAUCCAGGAGGCACUUGCUCAAUCUAAGUGGAAAAAAGCGGUUCUUGAGGAAAUUCAUGCACUUGAGAAGAAUAAUACUUGGGAAUAUAUAGAAUUGCCAGCUGGGAAGAAAUUGGUGGGAUGUAAGUGGGUCUUUACAGUUAAGCACAAUGCUGAUGGUAGUGUUGAUCGUUUCAAGGCAAGGCUGGUUACUAAGGGAUUCACGCAAUCAUAUGGUAUAGACUACGAUGAAACCUUCGCUCCGGUGGCCAAACUAAAUUCCAUUCGGGUGUUGCUCUCCCUUGCAGCUAACUUGGACUGGCCCCUACAUCAAUUAGACAUAAAGAAUGCCUUCUUGAAUGGGGAAUUGGAGGAAGAAGUCUUUAUGGAGGUUCCACCGGGAAUUGACACUAAAGAGAGCUUCAACAAGGUAUGCAAACUCAAGAAAUCCCUAUAUGGCCUAAAACAAUCACCUCGUGCUUGGUUCAAGAGGUUAACAAGGGUCGUUAAGAAGCUGAAUUUCAUUCAAUGUCAAACAGAUCAUACAAUGUUUGUCAAGAAGUCAGCUGAAGGUAAAAGAGCAGUAAUGAUUAUAUAUGUCGAUGAUAUAAUCCUAACUGGUGACAAUCUGGAGGAGAUUGAAAAACUGAAGAAUAUCCUGGCAGAAGAAUUCGAGGUUAAAGACCUAGGUCAACUCAAAUACUUCCUAGGUAUGGAGGUAGCUCGAUCACGAAAAGGAAUUGCAAUUUCCCAACGCAAAUAUACUCUUGAUCUUUUGAAGGAAACUGGUAUGCUUGGGUGUAAACCAGCUGACACACCCAUGGAUUCUACAAAUAAAACCGAGAUGGAAGAAGAAGGACCAUUAACGGACAAAGGGAGGUAUCAAAGAUUAGUUGGCAAACUAAUCUAUCUCUCGCAUACUCGGCCAGACAUUGGUUUCGCAGUAAGUAUGGUUAGUAGAUACAUGAACCGACCAACAGAAAAACACAUGCAGGUAGUUUUUCGAAUCUUACAAUACUUGAAGAAAAAUCCUGGAAGAAGGCUCUACUUUAAGAAAACGGAAGAGAGAAAUGUAGAGAUAUUCACUGAUGCAGAUUGGGCUGGAUCUCUCAUGGAUCGAAGGUCGACAACAAGGUAUUGUACCGUGGGGCAACAUGGUUACUUGGAGAAGCAAGAAGCAACCUGUUGUUGCUAGGAGCAGUGCUGAAGCGGAGUUUAGAGCAAUGUGUCAAGGAAUAUGUGAAGGCAUAUGGCUGAGAAGAAUAUUAAAUGAACUAGGAUUCACUAAAACCAAUCCUAUGUCAUUAUUAUGUGACAACAAAGCUGCUAUUGAGAUUGCCAAGAACCCGGUUCAUCAUGAUAGAACAAAGCAUGUGGAGAUCGAUCGACAUUUCAUCAAAGAAAAACUUGAGGAAGGAAUCUUGAAGCUCUCGUUUGUUCCGACCAAUUAUCAAACAGCGGAGAUACUGACCAAGGUUUUAUCCAAAAAUAGUUUCGAGACUCUAAGGUGCAAGCUGGGUAUGAUAGACAUUCAUAACCCAGCUUGAGGGGGAGUGUUGAAAAUCAGAAUGAUUUUCUGGUUAUUUUGUUUCCAGCUUUUCCAGAUUUUUCAGAUCUUUUAGAUUUAGAUUUUCUAGAUCUUUCAGAUCUUCUAGAUUUUCCAGAUUUUAUUUUUCCAGAUUUUAUUUGUUAGUUUUUAGGAAUUUGUUUACUAGCUUUUUAGGGUGCUGUAGCAACUAUAAAAAUGUUAGUGUCUCAUGUAAAUAUUAAUUCUCUGUAGAAUAAAAAACUCAGAGUAAUUUCUCUCAAAAUUCUUCAAGCAACAUUGUCUAUGUGUCCUUGGAACAAGCAUAAGAUAUUAUCGACAACCGCAAACAAUCUGCCACAGAGGGUAAGGCAUGUCAAAUCUUGAUGUGGAAUGAGCUGAUUAAGAAGCAGUACCACAAUUUCCAUCAAUUACCAAUCCAAUAAAUUUCAUUUUCUGUCUUUCAAAAUGAACUAAAGACUCGAGUUCCACUAUCUCCUUUAGGCUGAUAUAUAGAACCUUUCAAAAUAUCACAAUAAAGUCCACCAAAAAUCAGUUUGAUCUAACCAUUGCCUCUCCGAACAACGAAAUCAUAAUUUUUUUUUUGGUUAAAGCUACCAUUAUCAAGAGAUGGAGUGGGUAUUUGAAUAGAAGAAAGAUAAACUUUAUUCUUUGACCAGGUAAUCAGUUUUUAAAUGGGUUUCGGCCUGCAUGGUUCGUUCAAAAUUUAGCUGUUUCAUUUGCAUAUUCAAACGCCCGUUUUCAAUUUAUCCUUCUAUCUAUACAAUAACUGUUAUGGGAAGAAAGAAAGCUUCUUAUUUUGAAUAUCGACCUGAACAUGUUAAAAGGAUAUUAUCCCACCAAUUCACAUACAGAAUUUCAUAUAGUAUAUUUUGGCUAGGCAUGGCCUACAAUAUAGUUACUAAAAGCAAUUAUGUACUCAGAGUCAAAAGUACAAACUUUUAAAGCUAUUGGGAAAUGAUACUGCAUAUUCAAUGUUAAAAACUUGUGAUUUCUUUGGCUUGUGAUUUCUCAUUGGUCUUUUUUAUUGUUGCUAUUAUGGAUGCAUUUGAAAUUGAUUCCAUGGAGUAAAAGCCAUGCCAUUUCAGUCACUGUCAAAAUCUGCCAUUUGUUUUGCUGUUCUUUUGCAUUAUAUAGCUUGGCUCUCUGAUAAUAUAUCUCCUCUCAGUUUGUUUUAUUGAAGGAAUUCCAUCUAGGGUUCUUGUCUAUGAUUAAUAUUGUUCUGGUGGAAUUAACUCCAAAUGAUGUAGAUAGGUGGAAUACACAUAAUUUGGAAAUGAGAUGUAAGCGUCAUUGCAUGAUUGCAAAACUAAUGUAAUGGUAUCUGCCUUUCGGAUCAGUUUCAUGGGGUUGUUUUGUUCAAAUAUGGCCAUAUGGUAAUUGGCUCAAAUAUAUAUAAAAAGUAGAUAUGUUUAUGUAAUAAUCAUCAUAAUGUUAAUAAUCAUCAUAAUGUGAUUAUAAAUACAUAAAAUGAAGUCAUGGGCUUUGGCUUAAAUUAUUGAUUUAUUAUGCCUUAGAAAGCUGAAAUGUGAUAUACAGACAGAUUGUAAUGGAGUGAUAUGUGUUAUGUGCUCUGGCCUGCUGAGGUGAUGUCACCAUUUGAGUUGUUAAAUGUGUUUUGUUUCACAUGAUCAUGCUGCAUAUAUAUAUAUAUAUAUAUUUUGAGGGAGUGUGAGGGAAAAAGGACUUGGUUAUAUUGAUUUGCUGAUUAGGUGAUUUGCAAUCUUUCAAAUCCAAUUUGGUUGUUUUGGUGUUUGUAAUGUUGAAUGCUUAAAGUUCAUUAUAUUGGUAUUGCUUUUGAAACAUGUACAAGGUGGAUGUUUAGUGUCAUCUAUCCAUUGGCAAUAAUUUGGUCGAUAAUUUUUUUUCAUUUUGUGUAAGAAUCUUACUGUAGAAAUGGCUGUAUCGGUGUCUAGAUUUAAAUGUUCUGUGAUUCCAGGUAAUUUCAGCUUCACCGAGAAAAUUAUGGUAAAAUAUGCUGGAGCUGGUGCGAUGUAGUUUGUAUCCAAGAACCUGAAGAAGAAGUACAAUAUUACUGAUGAACGUGCUGCCCUCUAUGAUGCUGUGGAGACAUGGGUUGAUGCCUUAAGUGGCAGGGAGUUCUUGGGUAUGCACUCUAGAUAUGGAAUAGUUGCUUGAAACAUGCUUCUUUUGAUAAUUAUAUCAGUCUUUUACUCAUCUACUGACCUCUGUUGAUAGAUUGUGUAUUUAAUAUUUUCAGUGCAUGUAGUGUAGUCAUCUUGCAUUCUGCAAGACUGUUGUGAGGUAACUACCCCUCCCAAUAAAAGGGGGUUUUUUGUGAAAGCAGGAAGAUUUUGUGAUUUUACAUUUCUGGAUCAUCCUUGUCACACUUCACCUUGGAAGAGCCGCUGGCAUUUGCAUAGAUUGCUUUACUUGCAUCACUGGUUUUAUUUGUUCUGCACCUCACAUAGCUAUCCAACUCUUAACGGGUUCCUGCUUUAUACUAAAAAUUGCACUUGGUGAAAUUCUGUAAUUGUUCCUACGAGGCAACAAUCAAUUCCAUCUUUUAUAUUUUUUUUUUCUAAAUUUUCGAAUAAAUACUCUGAUACGUUAUUGAAAGAGUAGUAAAAUGUUCAUUUAGUGUUUGCUUUCUAGAAUAAUUCAUAUAGUGGUAAAAAAAUAAAACAAUGUCAAGUAUUUUAUCUGUCCACCCAGUGACAGUUAUUGACUUUAUUAUUGGUUCCUUACAAUGAUGUGCGUAAUGAAAUUAUCGCGCAGGAGCAUAGUGCAUGCAUACAAACUAGUUAUUCUUUAAGCCGGGAUGGCUUCAAAGAAAUGAGUAUGAUAAGGUUCAAAAUUAUACAUUUGUUAAGCAAGAGAUGUUAAUAGAUCAAUUUCUUAUGAGAAGAUUUUUAUUAUGUUUAUUAGCCUUGGGCCUGUAGAGAUGAUGGACAAAGGUUCUACCUUCUGAGAAAAUACUAAUGAAAGCAUCUCCACUGUGAGCUAUCGGGAUAUUAGACAAUUUGGUGUAUAGAUGAUGUCUCCAACCUACAUUAAAAAGUUGGGAUGGCAUGUAGGCAAUAAAAGAUAUGCUCUCUUAUUCUUGAAAGUAUUGGGAAAUUCAUCCUUCGCAAGAUCUAGGAAAUGUUCAUUAUUUAACGAUUCUUGAAGUGUGAACUUAUGGCAUGAUGCUUUGUGUUGCCGACCUUUUGAAGGACAUUAAGAUAAUGCUUGAGGUAAAAACCUUUUAUACGACUCAUAUAAAGCUUUUAUUGAUAUAGCUGUUGGUUGACAGCUUGAGAAAAGGUUAAUGCGCAAAAGGUUGUCUGUGAUCAUAUGCACCUUGUUCAUAAUAAUGUCUGCACUUUUGUGGUGAAGAUGUUUACUCAUCAUAAUAUCUGCUGUUUCAGGGGGCUCAAAGCCUAAUUUGGCCGAUCUUGCUGUCUUUGGUGUUUUAAGACCGAUCCGAUAUUUGAGGUCUGGUAAAGAUAUGGUGGAGCACACUCGUAUAGGGGAAUGGUACUCAAGAAUGGAGAGUGCUGUGGGAGAGUCCUCAAGGAUUAAGGCUUGAACUGGAAUCCUGUUAGAUUCAGGAGCAUGCUUUCUGCUUUUCAAACUGAUGCUCGCUAAUUGGUUCUGUAUCCAAGUAUAGCCACCUGUAGAAAAAGACGAGUCCAUAUCAUUCUUGAUUUUUUUUUCCCCAAGAUUUAUGACAUUUGGUGGUAAUAUAUGUAUUACCAAAAUUUUGGGAUUCUUUCAUCAUUGUUUCACUUUGUAAUAAACGUCCAACCAAUACGAAGGAAAGGAGGUGAUUUAUAUACACGAUUUUUCAGGACUGCUACAAAAAUGGUCGUUUCUUGUGUAUAAGCUGUUUUAUCUGGUUUGACUAUUGCCGGAAUCCUGGAACUGCGUCUAUUUAUGUUAUGAAAAAUGAGAAAUUCGUUUCCUUUCUUCUGUUCUUGGGCAAUCCGCUAAUUUUAACUCCCACGUUUUUGUUCCGGCAUAUGGGUCUGGAGUUUGUAUCAUCGACGGUAUGAGACAUGAAUGGAUAGGAACAGGGACUCUUAGAUUGAUAAGUCUUUUACUUGCUCAUAUGAUGGAUCAUUUUAUUGAUAAGAUGACACUGCAUUUAUAUGUAAAUGCCGUUUUAGGUAUGUCCUCUUGGUGAGUUUCUGGCUGAGUCGUUAAUUUUCAAACAAGUUCCAUUCUUUCCAUAUGGAUAAGCGAGUUCAAAUUCCCGUGAAAGCGGUCCCUUUUGUGCGGCGCUAACCCUACAUUGACCGAGUUGGUGCCGCGGCAUGGCAUUUGGGAUGGGGGCUGCAACGCCUGGGAUUUGAAUUGUGCUCGAAGAUGAAAAUUGUCUUUCCUGGUUAAGUCAUGUGGUACAGGUGAAAUGCAGAUUCAGUAGACAGUGGUCCUGGGAAGGUGCUAGUCUAGUAAUCCUUCUUGAUGAAGAUAUUGUAUGUUCUGCAUCGUUUCAAUUUUCAUCAGAUGCUUGGGAGACUUCUACGCAGGAAUGUAUUAGAUCUGCAUCGUUUCAAUUUCAUCAUAUGUCACUAAAUUUAAUGUGCUAUAAAUGGUGAUAUUCUUGUGUUUUUAUAAAAAUUGAGGUGUUUAAAAAUUACACGAAGCAUUGCAUCUUAUAAUUUGUAAACAGCUAAAUCUCUUGUCAUUAUAUGUGUUCAAAAACUUACAUAAUGGAUAAAUUUUUUAGAAAAAAUAUGUUGGAUUACUGAUAUUUUUAGGUCUGAUUUGCUUAUUUUGUAAAUUGAAGUCGAAAGAGUUUGGUAUUAGUCAAAUUUCAUGCAUUAAAUGUGGUCCAUGUCCAUCACCUUUUACUCAAUUAAUCUAUACGUUAAGGCCCCCAACCUACGGGAAGCUGAAGCUAUUUUCUUUUUGUGCCAAAUCUUCCUCUAGUUUUGUACUUCAUUGAAACUUAAGAGAUCAUACUGCAGAGACUGAGUAAAAUAUCUUUAAGUCUACAUCAAAAUCUGGGAGAAAGUGGAUAGUGAGUCUACAUAUAGAUAGGUGGAGACCUGAUUGAAGUGAUGGAUGGUGCUCAUAGUAUACUCGAUGUGUAUGGAGAUCCAUGAACAUGUUGAAUACGUAUUUUGUGCAGAAGAAUUAAACAAAAAGAAGUGGACAUCAAGAAUUUUUCUAAGCAGGACUGCUAGAUUAGCUGUGCAGCCUGUGCUAUGUAGAUGGUACAUCUAUCAAAACCAUUACUUAUGUCAGAAAUUUUAGUGAGAGCUCAUAUGUCAAUAAGAUGAGACUGUAAUUAUUUCAUCUACACAGGUUUUUAAAAUAACAAGAGGGGCAUAGCCAAUGCGAAGGUCUAAAGAGGUCUCUCCAACCAGAAUGGUCAGGCAAAGUGUUUGUUUGUUUGUUUGUUUUUUUUCGGUUGUUGUUAAUCUGCAAUUUGACGUUAGUCAUCACAUUGAAAGCCAUUCCAUCUUGCUUCGUGUUAAGUUUGUAUUGGCAUGCAUCAAGUUCCCUGUGACUGCCUUGAAAUUGCACAAGAGUUUGCCGCUUUGGCCUUAAUAUCUAAGAUGCUAUCGUUCUGUUAUUAAAGUUCACAUGACCCUUCACAAGGCGUUGUGUAAACUUGAUUUCCAUAUGAAAACCAGCAUGCUCCAAGUUAUGUUGGUUCACAUUUGUUCUCAUAUAACAAUAUCAUCCCGGUCUGAUUUACCAGUAGAGAUUCUAUGCAAAAAAACAUUAUGUUGAAUAAACUCUGCAUGAUGGCUUAGACGAAAUGCCAGAAAGAUAUUACUGCACAAAGCAUGAUCAGGUUCUGUAGAGGCUUGGUUUUAUAAGCAACAUAUACAACUGCAUAAAACAAUGUCAGACUCUCAACAUAGAGUAACCAACCAUUAGAGCUGGAAAAUUGUCAAUGUAUGAGAAAGGGUGACUGGGCUAUAAGCAACAGAAGGCCAUUCAAUAGCUAAUGGCCUGGCCAAAAAAGGGCCACAAACCAUAUGACUAGGCAGUGCAAAGGACCAGUUCGCAGCACUCCCAACUCUAGGCAUGUUGGACUCCUCAGUCUCUGCACCACUUUGAAUGUGGUGCCGUGCACUUGGCCUGAGCUAUCUACCCUAGGAACUGGCUUCACCUCAUUCGGUGGGUGCUCAUAACUCCGCAAACCUCCAGAGCUGGUGAAGAAGCAUCCUGAGUUCAAAAAAGAAGGCAAUGUUAAAAGGUGAAUGAUUUGGCGCUUGAAAACCAUUGGAAGAGCAACAUUGUAGGUUAAAAUGCACAUUUCAAAACAUGCAUACAGGUAAAGAACAUCACUUUAACCUUAGAUUAUAAAUUUAGGUUCAGAACCAAUUUUUCCAGUAUGAUGUUACCCAACAACAUAACAUUCUCCCCUGAACUCUGCUUAAUAUCAGCAGAGCUCAUCCAUCCUUACUUUUCACAUUGCAAUGCAUGGACUGAGCUCCAAUGGAGCCAUAUCAACAAACCGAAAAAAUAAUUACCUUUAGGGAAUGGUGUGAAAGAUUUCCCAAAGCCCAUCUUCAGGACUUCUGCAUCAUCUGAGAGAACAAGACUGCCUCCAGAAUCAAUUCCCCAGAAGAAAGCAACACUUCCAUCAACAUCCUGCAUGAUUCAGAGAACGGAAAGGAUUAGAUAUAGAUCGCAGGUGGAGGGAGAGAUUGCGAGCGAUACACAGAACGAAAUCAAUGAACAUUAUUAUUACUCACAGAGGCCUGAAAAGCGGUUUUAGAAGAGCACAAAACCAAACUUCCUGCUGAUGUCUCUCACAACUUGAUCAGCAGGGUAAGGCCUCCGAUCCUUCAGAGUUCAAUAAGCCUCUAUGACGAUAAUGACCUCAUUAGAGGUUUUAUUCCAUCCAUAUUGCUGCUUAAGAAGCAACAUUGUCUAUGUGUCCUUGGAACAAGCAGGAGAUAUCAUCAACCGCAAACAAUCUGCCACAGAGGGUAAGGCAUGUCAGAUCUCCAUGUGGGAUGAGCUGAUUGAGAAGAGAAGACAGUACUGCAACUUCCGUCAAUUAACACUCCAAUAAAUUUCAUUUUCUGGCUUCAAAAUGAACUAGAGACUCCAGUUCCACAAUCUCAUUUAGGCCGAUAUAUGGAAUCUUUCAUGAUAUCACAAUGAAGUCCAAAAGAAAUCAGUUUGAUCUAACCGUUGCCUCUCUAAACAAUGAAAUCACGAUUUUCUUUUUUUGGGUGUGGCUAAAGCUACCAUUAUCAAGAGAUAGAGUGGGUACUUGAAUAGAAGAAAGAUAUACUUUAUUCUUUGAUCAGGUAAUCAGCUUUUAAAUGGGUUUCAGCCUGCAUGGUUAAUUCAAAAUUUAGUUGUUUCAUUCGCAUAUUCAAACCUCUGUUUUCAAUUUAUCCUUCCAUCUAUACAAUAACUGCUAUGGGAAGAAAGAAAGCUUCUUAUUUUGAAUAUCGACCUGAACAUGUUAAAGGAUAUUAUCUAACCAAUUCACAUGCGGAAUUUCAUAUAGUAUUUUUUGGCUAGGCAUGGCCCACAAUAUAGUUACUAAAAGCAAUUCUGUACUUAAGAGUCAAAAGUACAAACUUUUAAAGAGAUUGGCAAAUGAUACUGCAUAUUCAAUGUUAAAAACUUAAAGACUCAUCCUUCCAUAAGCCCUAAUCAAAAUGACAAACGAGGGUUGCUGUUACUGUGAGUACAUCCUGUGUAUCAGCAGAAAUCCUCUCUUCAUCCUUUUUUGCUUUCUCUCUGUAACAAAGCCUCAUUUUAUGUUUUGUAAGGUAAUGUGAUGUGAUCCCAUUGAACCACUCUUGGCUGAUGAAAAGAACUAAACUCACCUGACUCAACAAGGACUGAAAUAUCUUCUUAUGAUCCUGGAAAUUCCCACGGAAAGGCACCACCUUGCCUUGAGAAACCAUCCAGAGCUUGCCAUGCUUCUAGAUAUUGGAUGCUCAUUGUCACCAACCUGCAAAUCAAGGUAAAAAGAUGGCUAUUAGCUGUAAAGACGAUCCAUCAUUGGUCAAAUUGAAGUAUUUUGGCAAAAAAAUCAAUCUCACUGUCAGACAUCUUCCUUGGAACAAGACCAGACCUUGAAUGACUGCCUCAACCGCAUCCAAAUCCUGCAGUUUGGGAUAGUAAAAAACGUAGAAUCAUACUCAUCAAUCCUUUGACAAGAAACGAGGAAUUUGCAGAUAAACACUUUAGAAGUCAUAGGCCAUUAAAGUAGAACUUAAAGUCCACAUUUAUAAACAAAGAAAUUUCCACAUUAAUUAUGUGCAAAACCCAAUGCUGCCUAUAGGAUAUGGAACUACUUGGUAUUAUAGAUUAUUGUAAUACAAAAACACUGAUCAUGCUAACAUACAUGUUUGAUUUCCAAUAAUUUGCCAGUUGGACAAUUAGAUUGGUUUCUGUUCCAUUAUAAGUUAGAUUUAAGAUGGCAGAGGCUCCCUGUUGUGAUCACUAAUAGGUUCCAUUGUAUUUUCAAUGUAAAGACCAGAUUCCUAUAAGUUCAAUUAGUGCAAGAGCAACAUAACAAGCUAACUGAAAAAGUAAUCAAAGUCACAAAACGGAGAAAAAUGAGUAAAACUAACCAGAUGAUCGGAUGGUUCACAAGCAAAAGUAUGUGAGGUUUCUUGAAAAAUGCAACACUGCUUUUCUAACCACCUAUUUAUAUGGGCAAAGCACCAUGUUAUAUGUGCAAUAACAUCCAAAAAGCCUCAGAGAAAGUACACAGUGAACUGCAAUUUAGUUUACAAAUUAACCAACCUCUAAUAGAGUUUCACAAUCUCACAUGAAAGUUGCUUCAACCAAAAAUUUACAUACAAAACAGUAGCAGAGAGGGAGGAGAUGUACCAGACAAGGUUUGCAUUCGUUGAAGUGCAAGAUUUCCAGUUACACCAGACAAACGCAAGUGAGCUCGAAACUUUUGUUCCAGAAAUCCCUGCAGGAAGAAUGCCACAUAAGAAGGUAUUUUCAGAUAAAAUAACAAAAUGUAAGACAAAAUAAUAUUCCACAAUAGAGUCAACACACACGACUGGUACUUUAAAGAACUGAAUAGAUUUGCCCCAGAGGUCACUGCUGACAACACAAUCACAGAAGCAGGUAGCAUAUCAUUUCAAUCUCAACCAAACAAGCAUGAGUAAAUUGGCUAAAUAUUUCUUGCAAGCUUUUAGUAAUAUUUCCUAACCCACCAGAGAUCAAGACCCAAGCGGAAGGUGAUUUAUGGAAUAUCAAUGCUGUCAUGAAUUGGUGUGGCAUUGAAAGGCUGGAGCCAUGAGGUGCCCCAGAAUUUUAUCCCAUAUUGACUGGUUAAUACUACGAAGGAUUGUCAUCAACAAAGGUUCUCGAUGAUAAAGGAAACCAUUGAAAAAAAAGAAGGAAGUGCAUCCCUUUUCUUCACAAUCAUAUCACAGCACCCACAUAACUAAUCACUGUUUUUAGAUUUUAGAAAAGAUUAUCUUAUUUAGAUCGUAUUCACUAGAAGAAAAUUUAGAACAUCUCAAUGCACCGAAUAAAAUUAAACGCUUCUUUUUUUCUUUUAUUAAAUUGCAAAAAGUGACACUUAACAUUGACAGCAUUAGCCCCACCUCAACAGCAUUCACAAGUGAUCCUUCCAAGAGAUUUUUCCAGUACAGAUCACAGUGGUAUCUACAAAGCAACAACAGUGAAUGAGCUUAAGGGCAGGAGAAAAAAGAUGUUGGGAAGAGAACAUACAACAAACGCUGAAAAUUCAGAGGAAUAUGAUUGUGAAACUCUAUGAUUCUUGGUGAUUCUCAUGCAAAGCAUAGUGCAUUUUAAUUCGCAAUUUGUUUGGUGGGUCACUCAAGUGCAAAAAUAAGCACAGGUUUUGGGCAUCAAGAAGAGUUCAAGAUAUGUCAUCAAUAUAGCAAGAUGCAGCUUUGUGAACAUGUCGUUCUGCAUACGUCAAUCUUUCACCUUCAGCAGCUGGUUUUCAAAAAUUUAUGUGAAAAAUCUGAACGAGAAAAAUCAGUUUGUAUCAAGCAUCGAAUUGAGGAACCGGCUUCCCCUUAUUUGGUGGGUGCUCAUAACUCCUCAAACCUCCAGAGCUGGUGAAGCAGCAUCCUGAGUUGGAAAAGAAGGCAACGUUAAAAGGUGAACGAUUUGGCGCUUGAAAACCAUUGGAAGAGCAACAUUGUAGGUGAAAAUGAACAAAUCAAAACAUGCAUACAGGUAAAGAACACCAUUUUAACCAUAUAUUAUAAAUUUAGGUUCAGAACCAAUUUUUCCAAUAUGAUAUUACCCCACAACAUAACAUUCUCCUCUGAACUCUGCUUAAUCUCAGCAUAGCUCAUCCAUCCUUACUUUUCACAUUGCAAUGCAUGUACCGAACUCCAGUGGAGCCGCAUCAACAAUCCAAAAAAAUAAUCACCUUUAGGGAAUGGUGCGAAAGAUUUCCCACAGCCCAUCUUCACGAAUUCUGCAUCAUCCGAGAGAACAGGAUUGCCCCCAGAAUCACUUCCCCAGAAGAAAGCACCACUUCCAUCAACAUCCUGCAUGGUUCAGAGAAUAGAAAGGAUUAGAUAUAGAUUGCAGGUGGAGGGAACGAUUGAGAGUGAUAUCCCAGAACGAAACCAAUGAACAUUAUUAUUACUCACAGAGUCCUGAAAAGCGGGUUUUAGAAGAGCUGUCGAAGAGCACAAAACCAAACUUCCUGCUGAUAUCUCUCACAACUUGAUCAGCAGGGUAAGGCCUCCGAUCCCUCAGAGUUCUAUAAGCUUCUAUGACAAUCAUGACCUCAUUAGCGGUUUUGUUCUAUUCAUAUUGCUGCUUACGAAGAGCUACAUUCUCUGUGUCCUUGGAACAAGCAGAAGAUAUCAUUGACAACGGCAAGCAAUCUGCCACACAGGGUAAGACAUGUCAAAUCUCGAUGGGGGAUAAACUAAUCGAGAAGAGAAGACAGUAGUGCAAUCCCCGUCAAUUAACAAUCCAAUAAAUUUCAUUUUCUGGCUUUCAAAAUGAGCUAGAGACUCGAGUUCCAAUAUCAGUCUGUAUUACGCAUCGAAUUGAGGGAGCAGAAUCAAAAUUGAUGCCUUGAAAACCAAAAACAUACCCGAACCCAAGAAAACUUACAUUACAUCAAAGAAUGAAUCCCGGCAGUUAACAAAUCUAUCAUCAUGGCUCGGGCAUGAUCGAUUUUACUUCAUUGGAUCCGAAUGCUAUCAAUGCUGAUGAAAGGGAUUUCUUGAAGGGAGAGAGAGAGAGGGCCAUCCUCUGGCAAGUACCCCAACUUCACAUCCAUAUAUGAAAAAAAAUUGUCGGGAUUGAGGCCCAAACAGAAACAGAGGAGGCUGAAUUAAUUGUUGUUCGAAAGAGCAUUGCAGUGGCUAAAGAGAAGAGCCGGCCCAAGGUAGUAGUGGACAUGGAUGCAGCUGUGGCAUACAAGAAUAUCAUCAUCAUCAUCAUCAUCAACUUUCGCAAGCCAGUGCACUUGGAGACUAAACGAAGCUCUUGCUGGAUAUUCAAGCAGCUAAUUAUCAAUUUUUCAGCUCUGAAUUUCAGUCGUACUUCACGAAAAGCAAACGUCUGCGCGCAUCGGAAGAAAUUACUUCGUAUUAAGCAUCGAACUAAAGAACAGAAACACGAAAUCGAUGCAUUCAAGACGAAAGGAAUUACCUGAACCCUUACAAAUCUGACCGUAGAUGGAAGGGAUUGAAUCGCGGCAGUUAGCAAAUGAAAGCGAAAGUGGAUCGAUUUCACUUCAUCGGAUCUGAGAACCCAAUCGAUGCGGAUGUCGAGGAUUUCUCGGAUUUCCGGAAAUUCAUGCGGAGCAUCUCCACGGGAAAGUAUCGAUUUGUAUUGAGCAUCGAGUUGAGGAAUCAGAAUGGAAACCGAUGCCUUCAAGACCAUAAACUUACCCAAACCCUAGAAAACCUGACCGAACCAGGUUUAUUGGAUCCGAACGUCAUCAAUCUCGAUGUAAGGGAUCUCUUGGAUGAGGGGCCAAUAGUCGCCCGUGUCUUUUGAGCAUCUAUCUCUCAGAAUCUCGCAUCUCUCUAUAUAAAGUUCUUGGAGGGAGGGAGGGAGAUCAUCCUCUGGCAAGUCCCUCAACUUCGGGCAAUUUACAAUCUCUAAAGAUUCGAGAGAGGAGAGAUGGUUGCGAAGACCGUUUGAUAAUCUUUCCAUGUUCCUCAUAUUAUAAAUGGAAAGUUGCACAAGAGAGGAAGGAAAGAAAAGACUCCAAGCAUCCUCGUCGUCUUCUUCCGAAGGAAACCCCACCAUGUCUCCCUCCGCUCCUAUGCAACCUCCGUCUAUAGUAAGAUUAGUGAGGGAUGUGAGCAUGGGCAAGCCCCAUUCUCUCAUUGGUUGCUUCCAAUUAUCGCAGAAAGUAACAUUAAACAAAAGCAAAUUGGGAGGAAAACCUCCUUCGGGCAAGCAUUUGAUAUUUUCACAAUCCGCAAUGAAUAUCCACCAGAGAGACAUAAGAUGAUGCCACUCCUUUGGUAGAGACUUCAUCUUAGGAACAUGUACAAGGGUAAGGUGCAUGAGGGUGAUGGGAAGGGAAGGGAAGUUUUCUAUCUCCAAUGCCGGACACUCCUGUAUAUCCAAUUUAGUGAGAUGGGAUAAUGUGAGAAGGCACCUUGGUAGACUUAUCAAAUUCUCACAUCUAUCUAUAGUUAAAGAGCCCAGCGAUUCUGCUAUGGCAAACGGAAACGAUAUCAAAGAAUCACAUUCACUCAUAUUAAGAAAUUCAGGUUGAGAUAUCGAAUUAUUGUUGCUAUGGUCAUCUUGAGAAGUUAUUAUUCUCGAGAUUUUUGGACAAUUCUCAAUCCUCAAAUGUCUUAGUGUGUACAACUUGCUUGGAAGCUUUUCUAAACUCGUGCAAUUUCUCAAUUCCAUCUUUUCAAGGUUGCAGGAUAGCUCCAUUUCUCCGUCUCUAGCCACAAAAGAUGUGAAUUGAGGACAACUAUCAAUGGCUACACUUUGAAGGCAAGCAAGAUUUUGCAUCUCAUUUCCAUUUUGCCACAAGUAGUUUAGCUUGUCACACUGCCUUAUAUAAAGCUCCUUUAGCUUAACCAAGUAGCUCGUAAAGCCAUGAUCAAAGCAAACAAGUUCAACAAGAUUCUCAAUUUUGAGACUGAUCAAAGAAGUUAGGUUGGCGAAGAUUUUUAAGAUCUCUUUGUUACAAUCCUUAAGGUAUAACUCACAAAGAGAUGGGAGGCAAAUCACUUUGGUUGAGUUAUUCAAAUGCGGGCAUGAAUGAAUUUCAAGCUUCCUGAGAAGAUCAAGUUGACCAGGCAAUGUCCCAACCAAUGAAUGACAACUCCGAACAACAAGAUGCUGAAGACAAGAGAAUGGGACAUCUUCUUCUCGACCCCCAACACAAUGAGACCANNNNNNNNNNNNNNNNNNNNNNNNNNNNNNNNNNNNNNNNNNNNNNNNNNNNNNNNNNNNNNNNNNNNNNNNNNNNNNNNNNNNNNNNNNNNNNNNNNNNNNNNNNNNNNNNNNNNNNNNNNNNNNNNNNNNNNNNNNNNNNNNNNNNNNNNNNNNNNNNNNNNNNNNNNNNNNNNNNNNNNNNNNNNNNNCUAUUUUAGAAUAAGAAAGACCAUCCAACCAUGAGGGGAAUCUUGCACCACCAUAAUGCGAGAUAGAGAGACGUUCAAGAUUAGUGUGAGGUCGUAGAGAGUCAAGCACCAGUUCUUCGCGCUUCCCAUUAUGCAAAUUUCCAAAAUUUUCACCCCAAUCCAAGAAUAAGUUGCUAAGGCCUCUCUUUCCAAAUAAAUUAGCAUCAACCGCAUCUCUGACUUCUUCUACCUUUUGCAAUUCUGCUAUGAACAAUUCUCCUUGAAGAUGUUGCAAGUUCUUUAACUCCUUUAAUAGCGACCCUUUCUCUGGUCCUACUACAAACUUGGGGAAGAUGAUUAUAUUCUUCAAAUUACUCAUACCCAAAGGCAUCUUUUUGAGACUCCCUGUAUCUCUAAUGUCAAGAAAUUGUAACCUGACCAAUUUUGUGAUGCUUGUAGGCAACAUAGAAAGCAUUUGACAACCUCUUAAGAUCAAAGCUUGUAAUUUGCACAAGGCGCCAAUUGACUCAGGUAGCCUUUUGAUAUUGGUGUAUGAAAGAUUGAGAUAUCGAAGAUGUUUUAAAUCACAGACACAAUUCGGUACCUCUACGAUGUUACAAUGGCAUAAUGAUAAUACUCGCAAGUACUUCAAGUUUGUUAACAAGUCAUGCAGCACCUUUCCAGAAAUAAAAAUUCCUUUUUUAUCAUUAAAUUGAAUAGUCAACAGCAUCAAACUUCUUAGUACCUUCAUUGUAGCAUAUGCUCUCAAGCUUUUUGACGUAACACAUUGUGAGACAAAUGAUGCACAACGAGCUUUCUCUUUAAAAGUGGCAUCAUCUUCAUCACUCACUACCUGAGACUCCUCUACCAGAGACUCCCUAGAGGUAAAGCAUGUCUUAUCCGCAAUUGACUUCGCUAGAUCAUUCAAAAGAUCAUGCAUCAAAAACUUCGAUGUGUCAAUAUUAGAUUGUUGAAAAAAGGAUCUAGAUACUAACUCAUCGAAGUAUUUCCUUCCUGAUCUCAAGAUAUUCUCUUUUGCUUUUCGUCCAUCUAAAAAGCCCUCCGUUAUCCAUAAGAGCACCAGCUCGUCCCUCUCAAAUUCGUAGUCCUUUGGAAAUACUGCACAAUAAGUAAAACAUCUUUUCAAAUAAGAAGGGAGAUGGACAUAACUCAAUUUCAAAGCUGGAAGAACCUCAUCGUUUUUUGCCGAUGCUACAUCCCACAUUCUGUUAUUUAAGAUAUCUUCCCAUUCAUCUAGAUUCUCUUUAUUACGUAGGAGACCGCCCAAUAUCUUCGCUGUCAAAGGUAAACCUCUACAUUUUUCAGCUAUUUUCUUGCCUACUAUUUGCAGAUGUGGGUGCCUCUCGAAAUUUCUUGCUUCCAAAGCAUGAUAAGCUAAUAAGUCGGUACAAUUAUCAACAGACAACUCCUUCAAAGAAUAUGGCGAAGCUCCCGUUAUGGAAACCACAGAAUGGUUGCGUGUCGUGAUGAUGAUCUUGCUUCCCUUAGCCCCUGCUUCAAAUGGCUUUAAGAGGGAAGUCCAUUCUCCAUACUUCUCAUUCCAAACAUCAUCUAAGACCACAAGGAACUUCCUUUCGGAUAGAUCAUCUUUCAACUUAACUUGCAGCCAAUUAAGAUCUUUGCCCUCGCAAGACAACCCAGUGAUCGAUUGUAAAAUAGUCUUCGUUAUGUGGAGAACAUCAAAAACAUCUGAAACACAAACCCAUGCUUUCCUCUCGAAAUAGCUACUCAUUUUGGGGUCAUUGUACAGCCGUUGAGCCAUGGCCGUCUUUCCAACACCACCCAUCCCAACUAUGGGGACUAUGCUUAGCCUAGCAUCAGAAUUUUCGACCUCACUGAUUAAUAGUUCCAAUAUCUCUGCUUCUUCCUUCUCCCUGCCAAAAAAUCGAGUCUCCGGCAAAGAAGUGCUUUGGAGCCUUUUGUUGGUGUGGUUGGAUAUGUCCACAGCAUUCUCUCUUAAGCUUAGAUGAGCUUUCCUGGUGAUAAUCUUUUUCAACCUACCAUUGAUUUCUUGUACCUUAGUUUCAAACAGGUUCAAGCACAGGUUCGAGUUCGAUCCGGAGGAUCCAUCUUGGCCAAAGAAAAGGGAACAACCUUUUCUUUUGACCUUUGCUUGUGCUGGAUUCUGCCCCGGAACAACCUUCAAUCAUGAACUCAUCAAGCAAGUCUUCCAUGUCAUAGGCCAAGUCCCUAACAUCAUCCAACCACGACUUCACUAGACGGUUUUCGCCUAACUGCUUGUCCUCUGCAUCAUCCAACACUAUAUUGAUUGUUUCCAGCAUCCCCUUCCACUCAUCGAGUGGGGCGAUGCUGAUUCCUUCUCGUUGGGCAUAGUCCAAUCCCAAAGAAGCAAACUUGCUCAAGAGGACCUCAAAGAGGGAACUCGAAAAGAUCUCUCCAAUGGCCGUGGGUGAAUCAGUCUCUGAAAAGAAAAACAAGGGCAAUGAAGAAGCUAAAUGACAGUGAGCUAAUGGAGAGAGAAAACUAUAAAGUCCAAGAAGACCAGAAUUGUUUGCCUACCUAAAAGAUCGAACAAAGACGAAGACUUUUAAGGACGAUUUCUGUCCACAAGUGCUCAUUUCAUCUCUUCCAUUCGUAUUUUUUUUUUUUUUUUAUAGUCAAAGCCCAAAUAUUUGUAGUUUCCACAAUCAUAUUUUCAUUCAUGUAAUUUAACCAUAAACUAAGGAAUACCAAGGCUUUUGUGGACAUCAUGUUUUUUUUUUUUGGUCUAGAAAGUGAAGCAAAAGUCAAAAGGGAAGGCAAUAAAAUUCAAGAAGGUCAAUACUUUUUAGGAUGCAGAUGGCUUUGUUGCUUACAGGUAAAACAACAUCUAGAACUUGAUCACACAAAAUAUCCACAACAAAAAUCGACAUCCGCAAAAGUAUAAUAUUUUGAUGAAACAAAUGGUGCAAUAAAAAGGAAGUGACAUUGGACAUCUAGAAUAUGCAAUCUCAGCAUGUUCCUGAUUGGCUAACCCCCUGAGAGAAAGGAAGCAGUUUAAGGUCAUGCUCGGGACCGAUAUAUUGAUCAAGUUCUAGAUGUUAUUUUAUUUGUACCCAUGGCUUGAUUUAAAAGUUAAAUAUUUUGAUGAAAGAAACGGUGCAAUGAAAAGGAAGUGAUAUUGGACAUAUGGAAUAUGCAAUGAUGCUCACCAUGUUCCUGAUUGGCUAACCCCCCGUUGAUUGUUUAAAAACACAUCAUAUGUUAAAUUUUGAUAAAAUAAUUUGGGAAUAUGUGAGGAUCUAACGUAACCAUAGUAGCAGUGUAGAUUAAUCGAGACAGACCGUGUGAUGAUGGUGGGCCUAUUGGAUUUGUUGACGCCUCUGGAACUGGCGAAUGAACGAUUGUUGCCUCAAAAAUGUGAGAGUCGCUUGAAUGCUGUAAUGCGGUCGAGGGAUCAAUGACCAUUGGAGUUCGCGAAGGAAACUGACGGAUAUCAUUCUCAUUUUCCUUGUCAGACGUUAGGGGAAGUUGACCAGGAUGCUGGACAGUGUUCGUCGAACUAGUAUUGCCGCGUACAGGAACCACUUCGUCUAUACACGGUUGACCACAAUCCAGCAAACGAUUUGCGCCGUCCACAUCAAGGGAUGAAACAAUUUGUAACGAUGAUCCCACUGUUGGAUUAUGCAGUUCAUUUGUUUGUAUUUCCUCAAAAGUGUUUACAAUUGCCUCACGAGAUUCGGGAAGAUUCUCCGGCAGCGAGUGGUCAAGAUUUGACCAAUAUGUUGGAUGUAGCAGUGAAUCUGGAGUGAUUCCAUCUGCAAUAUGUUCAUCUAAGCUUAGAUAUUCUGUGACAGACAUACUGCUGCAAUGGACCUCAUCAUUUGGGGAUGAUGAUAGCCCUCUUGCAUUUUGUUCUUCCGUCUCUGAUUCAAGAUGAGUAGGUAGCUCAAGAAGCGUUUGUAGCUCACUAAAACCAAGACAAGAUGAAGCCGACGAGUCCAUCGGAAGUUGCUGGAUAGAUGAAGCAUUUUCAUUUCCAUGUGCUACAUCCGACCUUCGGUUCGAUGGAUCGNNNNNNNNNNNNNNNNNNNNNNNNNNNNNNNNNNNNNNNNNNNNNNNNNNNNNNNNNNNNNNNNNNNNNNNNNNNNNNNNNNNNNNNNNNNNNNNNNNNNNNNNNNNNNNNNNNNNNNNNNNNNNNNNNNNNNNNNNNNNNNNNNNNNNNNNNNNNNNNNNNNNNNNNNNNNNNNNNNNNNNNNNNNNNNNNNNNNNNNNNNNNNNNNNNNNNNNNNNNNNNNNNNNNNNNNNNNNNNNNNNNNNNNNNNNNNNNNNNNNNNNNNNNNNNNNNNNNNNNNNNNNNNNNNNNNNNNNNNNNNNNNNNNNNNNNNNNNNNNNNNNNNNNNNNNNNNNNNNNNNNNNNNNNNNNNNNNNNNNNNNNNNNNNNNNNNNNNNNNNNNNNNNNNNNNNNNNNNNNNNNNNNNNNNNNNNNNNNNNNNNNNNNNNNNNNNNNNNNNNNNNNNNNNNNNNNNNNNNNNNNNNNNNNNNNNNNNNNNNNNNNNNNNNNNNNNNNNNNNNNNNNNNNNNNNNNNNNNNNNNNNNNNNNNNNNNNNNNNNNNNNNNNNNNNNNNNNNNNNNNNNNNNNNNNNNNNNNNNNNNNNNNNNNNNNNNNNNNNNNNNNNNNNNNNNNNNNNNNNNNNNNNNNNNNNNNNNNNNNNNNNNNNNNNNNNNNNNNNNNNNNNNNNNNNNNNNNNNNNNNNNNNNNNNNNNNNNNNNNNNNNNNNNNNNNNNNNNNNNNNNNNNNNNNNNNNNNNNNNNNNNNNNNNNNNNNNNNNNNNNNNNNNNNNNNNNNNNNNNNNNNNNNNNNNNNNNNNNNNNNNNNNNNNNNNNNNNNNNNNNNNNNNNNNNNNNNNNNNNNNNNNNNNNNNNNNNNNNNNNNNNNNNNNNNNNNNNNNNNNNNNNNNNNNNNNNNNNNNNNNNNNNNNNNNNNNNNNNNNNNNNNNNNNNNNNNNNNNNNNNNNNNNNNNNNNNNNNNNNNNNNNNNNNNNNNNNNNNNNNNNNNNNNNNNNNNNNNNNNNNNNNNNNNNNNNNNNNNNNNNNNNNNNNNGCUGACCAGAUAGACUUGAUAUCGAUGCAAAAUCCUUGAAUCCUCUUAACAGAGCCGAACCACCUGAGUUCUGUAUGCCCAAAGUACAGAGAUCUCUCUCCUUCUUUCACCAGGAACAAAGCACAAGUAGAGAGAGAUGCACUAGAUCUACACAGAGGAGAAUAACAAAGGAAAAUUGGAUUAUACUUAUCAAGUAAAGGAGGAGAACUUCUGGAUUAUCUAAGCAGCAGAACACGCCUUGGAAGGAGAAUCUCAAGCGGCACUUACGCAUUAAGCAUGGAUCAAGAGGAGCAUCAAGAGUACAGGGUAAUGGUCUUCCACAUAUUUGUCGUCAAAAUCAUGCGGCGAGCGCCGACCCGCUCGGGGGCACGUAGGCAACGAGGCGACCGAAAGGAACCGCGGCGAAACCGGAGAAGCGAAAACCGGAGGCCCCGCAAGAAAAGGCGCUCGAACAAGAUGUGAGGGAUCUGCGGGAAUAACACACGGGAGUCUCCUCCUCUCUCCUCCUCUCUCCCUACCUCCUUCCCUUUCUGGUCUCUUGUCUCUGUUGGGC